RNAcentral lists this long non-coding RNA (79951 nucleotides) under Musa acuminata (dwarf banana). Its description in RNAcentral is "long non-coding RNA (MACU_LNC007643)". The record is from RNAcentral. Lineage: Eukaryota; Viridiplantae; Streptophyta; Magnoliopsida; Zingiberales; Musaceae.
AGAGACCAGACCUUCACUUCACAAUUACGAAAAACUCCAAGCUGCGAAGCCUGGCAAACUCACCUAAACCUUCCCAGAAAGAGAGCAAGCUUCCAAGAUACUGUCAUCAUCUUCCGGGCUGACCUAAGCCAAUUUAUAGCAUGAGACAUCAAUUGAUUCAGGAGCCAAGUAGGCCACUUGUACACCGAUAAAGCUCUGCUGGAAGAUUGCCUCGAAAACUGUCUGAACAAGUUGAACACGCCUCCGACAGAAAUUGACUGCUAACUCAUCUUUGUCAGCAAGACUCUGUAUCAAAAGACGGAUAUUCUAGGACUACCUUUGCCACUCGGGACUUAAAAGAGAAGUCAAAGGGGGCCAAGUAACUGCUACAAACACAAAGAAGGGAAGGAGCAAUUCCGGUGUGAGUUCGGUGCCCAGAGCGAGUCAAGUAUUUCUAGUGGUAGGAGUCCUGUUUCUAGCGUCAGUGAGUUACCCAGCUUUAAUAGAAGUGCAAGUCACAACUACGUAUAGGGGUGAGUUCAAAGAGCAUUAAGUCGAGGUCGGUUCAUCAAUUAUCUUUCUGAUAUUAGAUAGAAGAAAAGUGGUCGCCAAGUCACUACUAGAUUAGAGAGUAAGUAAAGCAAGGCUAGAAGCAAGGUGUGGCAUACUUUGAUGAGUAUUUUCAGAAUCAAGAUAGUCAAGUAGACCUUAGAGGCAGUGAGGACAGGCUCCUAGUUUUGAGUUUCAUUAUUUUCAGUAGUAGUGAAAUUACUGUUAGUAUAUUAGUGACAGGUUGAAAGCAAGACUCCUUAGGAACAGGUAUAAGUUGGUGCCCAGCAAAGUGAGGCUCAUAGUAAUUAGUUAAGGAGUAUAAGAUAGUCACGUAAGCCUAAGUUCUAUAGGGGCAAUUCGGAUUGAUUGUAUUAGUGGUAUUCUGACUUCAUUGAUUGGAUUCCCAGUAGUACCAGUUAAGCCCUUGGUAGUGCUAGCAUUAUUCUGAGUGGCAGGCGGACUUCCGUGUUUAGGUCAACAGCUUUAGGUACUCUACUUAGGAGUUUCAAUUCACACUUGCCCCAUAUAAAGAGAAUAGUUUCAAAUGAGCUCUAACAGCACUUAUGUUGGUUUGAUAUCCCCAUCAUGUAAUAAACCCAAUAGGGCUUAUAAUGCAUUGCAAGCCCAUACUUUCUUAAUACUGGGAAAGAGGAUACAGAGCGCAACUAACAAUAUGGAAUAAGGAAUGGGUUAAACAAUACAGAGAAUGGAAGCCAUGAAAGUCAGAUUACAAGCAGUGGGCGCGGGUACAGAUUUAGUAUGAUUGGUUCUAUUCUUUAUUAUAAGUAAGGGGAUUCUAGUCGUUGGUUUGAUUCCCUUGUUUUGAGUGAGAUCUAGCCUCUAGUAGUUGAUUCUGCCAUUAGUAGUUAUUCCAAUAGUGAUAUUUGAUAGUUAGGAAGGUAAGACUAGGGGCCAGGGGAUGUAGUCUAAGAUAUAGUAGAGCGAAGAUCCGAUCAGUAUUCAUAGAGUGCAGGUAAAGAAAGGCAGGCUCAAGCAGGGGAAUAGAAGCUAUGGUAUAGCAAAGUAGGGUUCGAGGCCAACAGCGAAAGAAGUCAAGAGUCCCCCCGACAGUAAGUCUGAUCUAAAGCAGAGUAGCAGCCUAAACCGUAUAAGCAAGGUCGUAAUAAGCACUUGAAGAGUUUGAGUUGAACUACAGAAUGAUAGCUAGGAAAGGCAGCUUUGGUGACAGCAGUGAAAUAGUUUUCUAUAGGAUCAAUUAUUGUUAUCAUUAUGCAGGCAGUUCUCUACUCUAGUGGGGCGCGUGCCGAGCCUUGGUAUCGGUGUUUUCCCUCUCAUCGGUAAUUGGUUCAAAGUCCUAUCAGCAGUGGAGUUGGGAAUGCAAUACAGGUACCGGAGUUAGGGCAGUGCCAGUUGGAAAGCAAGAGAUACCGAUGUAGACUAAGUAUUGGUAGGCCGAUAGACAGGAAAGUCAUACUUUAAGACGGGAGCGUCAGAGACAAACUCGAUUUCGGGGUCCGCUGUUUCUGUUUGAAAGUCAGGAUCUAGACCCGUAGCUACAGAGUUCAGGGCAGGCUCAAAAGCUUACAUAUCACUACCAAACAAGUAAGGCUUCCACUGCAGGAUUGAGUUCUUGUAUCGUAUUUUCAUUAUGAGAUAUAUGACUACUAUUCUCAGAACUGGUGUUUAUUCGUGAGUUGUGUUUGGGAGCGAAAGCCUUAGAAGCGAUAGUGAAAGCCUAAGUUUCGAGGCUUUCAGCACCUAUAGUGAGUAGUCAAAGCCUUCUAUAUGGUGUAACAUUCUCAUAGUUUGAGUCGCAUUCCUAUGAGUUUAAGCGGUUGUUGGGCACUGUUCCAUUCUUUCUAGGCACUAUUUCUGUCUUAUACGCUGUAGUGGAAUUCUCCUGUUUCUCUCCAAUGACUCAUUCUUUAUUUCCAUUAUGGGGCUUCUAGGUGUUUAGAGCCGGUAACGUAGUGGAGACCAGUAUUCUUACUCUCAUUCUGACUUAUGUCUUGAAUCCUUAUAUCCUCUUAAUUCUGACUUAUGUCUUGAAUCCUUAUAUCCUAUACUGGAAUUCUGCUUUUAUGGGGUGAAUUCUUACAUUAAUGAGUUGCUUUCUACCCCUGUGUGUUAGGUUAGCACAUCCUGUUACUAAUAAGUUAAAGGACCAUUUCUUCUUAUCCAGCUGUAGAUCUCGUUGUUGCCAUUUCCAUUACUAAUGACUCUACUAUCUUAUAUUAGCAUAUUCUACUAUCUUAUAUUAGCAUGUAUAUUAGCAUGUGUGUUUUCAUAUGAUAUUUGCUAUUAACUAGUACUGUACUACCGAUCCAAAGGAAUAAAUCUACUGAUAAUAAGAAGGAAGGGAGCGAAAGAGUGGAGAGCAAAGGGACAAAGACUUAGAGAUAUGAAAGAUAGGUGAAGAUCCAUGAGUUUGGGAAUCAAAGGUGGGCAAUGCAUACUUAACGGUAUGAGUGACAGGCCAGGUAGCAUUAGUUCAAUCUCUCAUUGUUCGUAAAAGAAUGAGAGAAGCGCCAGGACAAGCCUGUUUGCCAUCAGUUCGGUUCUCUUAUUCCCUUAUAGUUAAGCCCUUGUUUGAUUGAUUCUGUUUCUUUGAUUUGACUAUUCAAGGCCGUGGUUUCAAUGAGUUCUCUUAUUAGUGGUAGCGCUAUUCUUUAGCUAACACCCUGUUGCUUGUUUCAACCUGAUAAGGAGUAGCUGGAUUACAAGUUUCCUAUUUCAUGACUAAAAGCUGCAGUAGCAGGCUCGUGGGUGGGAGUCAAAGUCUCAUACGCCUUAGUUCCACUCUGAUAGUAAGUAGUAGCAGGAUCCGUUGCCGAAGCCGAGGAGAAUGCCUGCGUGUUGUAGACGAGAGCUUUGCUUGCUUCAUUUGAAAAGGGUAAACGAGUGAGUAGUGGUGCGAGCUUGCUUGAGCAGAGUCUCUUUCUGCUCUUGUGGAAUUUGGAUGUGUUUUCCUCUGCGCUACAACUUAUUGGAUUGGAGUUCGGUAUGCGCUAACGAGAGUUAUCUCUUAUCUUCUGUUUCUGCAUUUGAAUCGAAAGAUGAAAUAAAGGAUUAAGACAGUGGAGUUUAGUAUCGUAUGAGUUUAGUAUCAUAUAGCAAAAGGGUAAUUAGGGAAUCAGAGGUGUUGCGGUGAACAAGUAAGCGAGUUAUAUCAUCGGCAUUAGGAGCUUUGCAAGCCAUUACAUUAUUAGUGAAUUAGCCGUUGCGCAAGGGCGAUUACAGCGCCUAAUAUGUUUGGCUACGAGAGAUAAAGGUGAAAGUGUUGAAUCUUCUAAAUCAGGUAUUGCAGGAAGAAGCGCUUGAGUCUAAAGUUGAGUCGACGAAGAUCAUAUAAGUCCCCUUCUGUUAUAGGUCCAGUAUAAAGUAGAGUUUCGGGUUCAAGUAAGAAUCUAGUUCCAUUAUUGGGAUUAAUAGUCCAUUCAUUUCUGUAUUUCUAGAUUGAUUCUUGGACGUAGUGGUUCAAUUCCUCUUAUUAUAGGAUGAAGUAUUGAGUUCAGUAAAGCAAAGAUCCGGGGACUGGAUCGGUAGCUAUAGACUGAAGCAAGGGUAUUAGGAGUAGCGGAGUGGAAUUCCAGUCGAGUGGAUAGUAAUACCUAUAUGUAGGGAAGGCGGUGAGGAUAGUCAGACCUAUUGCCGGUAAAGGUAAGGCUGAUGGACCGGAGUAGAGGAAUCAGAGACAGUGGAGGCAGGCUAACAACUAUGCUAGUAAGCUAAACUGGAGCAUAGGUAUCUAAGGUAAGGAGCCCGGGACUGAGAGGCGCGAAAGGCACGAUUCAGGCUUGGCACCGAUGUUAACUAAUAAGGCUUGGAUCUAUGUGGACUAAUAAGGCUAUUUUCCUCUGUCGUUUAGCUUGGUUUACUAGGUUUAGUUAAUAGAGUCGUGUUUUGUUCUUACUUAAUGGAUUUUCUUCUUUAACGGAAGCAGUUUAGUAAUGAAAGACAUGAUGUACAACCUAAUAGGUAAGGGGGACUUUCUAGGCGGAAAUAAAGUAAGGGCUGGCUAAUAGACAGGUCGCAGCUGGCAGUUUUCAAGUAAGUAGUGGUAGCGUAGUAGGUCUACACCCAAAGAAUACAAGGUAGUAGUGUCAGUUGGAAGCUAGCACAUAAGAAGAAAAGUCAGUAGCGGAAGGCUCAGUUCCGCGGGCAACAUCUUCGUUUUUGGUUAGCGCAUCGGCCUUGCCCCGUACCAGUGCAUUUCUUAUUGACAGCGUUUUCAUCCUAAUGGUUCACAGUUGAGCUCCCUGUUCCGAGUGCAAUCUUUAUUGGUAUGGAUUUGCUCCUUGCUAGUUAUUCCUAGACUAGCUGCUCAUUCCUAUACUAAUUAGUUCCGCUCUGACUCAUAACCCCAGAUCCCCAUUCUAAUACUAACGAGUAUAAUUCCUAGGUGGAGGUUCGAUUCCUAUACCCUUGCUCGCAUUCCCGAUACCCCCAUUGACCCAUUCCACUCACCAUCCUUAGUAUACUGACCCUUUAGCUUGAAAGAAAGGAACGAAAACAGGUGGACGAACAAAGGUGGCCGCCUUUCUAAGUUGCUUGGCGCUUAGUUGCUUGGCUGUUGAAGUCUGAUACUGCUUAGGUGCAUUCCUGUUGUUACUGCUUGAAGUCUAUGUCUGCCGUUGCUUGGCCCAUUCUUGGAGGUACUCGUAUAGGUUUAGCGCAAGUGAAGUAAGACUAGAAGCCUGUAGAUAUAGAAUGAGACAGAAGGAAGUAAGCCCGAGAGCCGGGUUAGAUCAGUUGUUAAGUGAAAGCCCUAGUUUCCAGUGGGAGUUUUUGAGAUAGUAGCUACAUUCCCAGCUGUGAGCUACAGUUAUGUUGGCAUUAGUUCCAAUCCAAUACUGACUACCUGUAUUCUGUAUUCUUGUAUUGAUUCUAAGGUCCGACUCUUGUUGAUAUUGUUUUGAUUACUAGAUAGAGAUGACCUCUGUUUCCGCACUAAAUAUAUGAUAAAUGAAUGAUGAAUACAGUCGCUUCACUAUGAUGAAUACAGUAGCUUCACUUCUAGGAUAGAUCGAGUCGGGUGCGAGUCUAGGUUAAGCGGUUUCUUCUGAACUUCUGUGGCAACAGUUCUAUUCUUAGGCUACACCUCAAGUACGUCCCUUAGGCUACAUCUCCUGCACCAACAUUUGCAUUUUCUCUUUCUCUACACACAUUUGCUCUUUAUCUAUCUAUUCAAAAGGUGUGUUUAGUUCCAGAACUCCUAUUCUAACUGCCCGGUCGAUAAGGCUUCCCUGACUUUCUUAGCCCUUACCACUCCUUUGAUUCUUUAACGCUGGAAGAUGAUCCUUACUUACUUGUUUGAGAAUCCAACCACUGGUGCCGAGACCUUCACUGCUUACUUGCAUCCUUGCUUCCACUGAUCAGUAUACCAAUACGGAACUACAAUACCCAUAGUAGGAAUAAGGACGGAAAUCCCCGCCUCCAAGGCUAAAACAACAAGAGAAAGUGAAUCCAGCCAAACUCAUAACGCAGCUAACAAGGAUAUAGCUCAUAACAAGGAAUCCACCAAAAGAACAUAAGACUGAAAACGCUGCUACCGAGGCUUCAACAAGUACUACCAAUACAGCAACUUUCAAUACUGGAUACUAAGCAUGGGUACGUUGUAGCGCAUCUCAGAUAAUCAAAUGUAGGUCUGAUCUAGUGCAUUAAGAGACGGAGUAAAAACGUAGCUAACAAUAAUCAAAUAAGCAACUCGUAAUUCCACUCAUUAGUAUAGGCAUGAACCAAGCAACUGGGGCUUUUGCUACCAUUUACUGACGCUACACUCUUUUUGUUCCAGAUAUCCUUAUUUAUGGGCCUUAUACUUUUACAGCGUAGUGAAUUUCUUGCAGUUGUGUUUGUAUUAUUGGUAUGCUUAUCCAGGUAUACUAACUUGCUCGCCAACAAACCCACUAUUCUUAUGAGCCUUAUCCACUUCCAAGCUUAUUAGCCUUAUCCACUUCCAAGCCUAACUGACUAUACCUAUAAGCCUAAUUGAUUCUACUUUGAAUAAUUAUGUUUACUCAACACUAGGUGCGCUGGCCCCGGACACGAUGCACUAUAUUAUUUUUACAAGAUCUUAGGCUUAUAGCUCAUUAUAUCAGAAUGAAACCAAGGGCAGUUAGAGUCGGUGUCAGGAUCCGUAUCAGUAGCUACAGAGUGAGAAACACCUGGGAUAGGGGAAAGUAAUACCGAACCCUGGGAGUUUUGGAAUGAUAACAAGGGUAUUAAGCCUAUUAGUUAUAACAGCAGUUGCGUUUGGUUUGGGAGUGAUUAGUAAUUAGAACUUGAAGAUGUGCUCGUACUUCAGAUGUUUUCGUGUUACGUGUCAGUCCGGCUCGUAGGCCCAAGCCCCUUAUUACUGUGUUCGUGUCUGCCCAAGCCCAACUCUUGACUCUCUAGAGCCCGCUCCUCCAUGUGAGUCUACAUUGUCACUCGAACUUCACCUAACGAAUCAAACUAGUGCUUCACACAAUCAAACUCAGCAGUAUAAGUACGGGUAUGGUGUAGUGCAUCUAGUAAAAACAAUAGUCAUACUACUCAUAUAGGAAUAAGAAUAUGGAUUACCGAGUAGUCGAAUAAACCAACCCUUAACCAAGGAAUGAAACCAAUAAGUAGAAGCCUGCGAAAAAUGCACUAAUGAAUUUCACUUGGUUUACUGGGAAUCGGCGCAAGGAAAGCAAGAAUACAAAUACCAGUCUCAAUAAUGGAUAACUAAAUAGGGCAUUGAAGAAAGGGAUCGAAUUAAAGCAUGGGCGCUAGAGAACUGCACUUAUCGGUAAGUGAGAGAACUAGGCGGAUAGUUGAGCUAAAGAAAGCCAGUAAGCAGAGCAGGAUACUCAACCUAAACCUAACAAGUAAGAAUCGAGCCAGCAAGUCAAAGAAUAGGAACAGAGCGACUACCUCUAAGCGCGAAGCUGGUAAAUCAGGCUUGCUCUACCACUUUGGAUUCUAAGGCUCUCUCCCUUUUGGUUGGAGCUAAGAGAAAGUAAUGUAAUACAAAGAGAUAGUAGUGGCAGGUCUCUAAGACAGAAGCAGUAGGACAACUAACAAAACUCUUUAUUGGUUUACAAACUUAACUGUAAGAAGAAAGAACAAAAGUAUUGAUUAUAAGGUAUAGCAGGUAUCAUAGCGGAAUCCCUAGUUUCUUGUGUAAGUCUUAUCGGUAUUAGUUGAAUUACAAGUUUCCAGUUCAAAUAUGAGAAGCACUGAUUGAUUUCUUAUAAACAGGAGCUUAAGCCAGUGAAAGCGGCGGGGACUAUGAGAAAGUCAAGGCAUACUUAGAGUUGAGCUAAGUAGUCAAAGGAUACAAAGGCGUAUAUCUAGAGUGAGUGAGUGGAUUGACAGAAUUUAGAGCGAGGAGUUUAUUCCCGUGUUCCUAGUUCCAGUAUUGUCGGCAUCAGUUACAUUCUAAUAAGUAGUAUAAGCUUGGUUGCUAACUUCUGUGUUCCUUUGUUUUAUCUUAUAGGUCUUCUACUUCUUGGUGCGAUGCCAGAACUCACUGACGCCCAAAAGUGAGGAGUCUACAUCUCUUUACAGUGUGUGGGCGUCCGGGAAAGUAGUGGAAAUGACUGGUUGAUCUUUCACUAAAGGGAGUUUACCGGCGAAAGAAAAGAAUGUAUAGUACUAUAACUGUAGAGAGUAAGCUGCAAGCUGUGGUAUUGUAUGGAAACCAGUAAUUAUCGAAUAACUUAUAUGGUAAUUAGGGAAUAACUUAUAUGCUGGGAUGUGUGUUCUCGCAACAGAAUAAGUUGUGCGAGGAAAUGAUGUUAUCAAGUAAAGUGAUUAAUAAUAGGCCUGUACCCAUCUUAGAAUUAUCGGUUUGUUGACCCGCUUGCUGCCCUUAUUGAUACUUAACUAGCUCGGCACUGCUUCUUCUCUCGGAGACAAGAAAGGUCAAAAGCCAAGUAAGUUCCAAUCCAAAUGAUAUGAUGCCGUAGAACAGGCAAUAAGAGUAGUUCGUUUAAGGGCCUGAAAAGAAGGCAAUUCUCCACUGCUAUUGGAGUUGCAGGCGAGGACAUAGGCAAGAGGCACUGUUAUAUACUACCGGGAGUAUACAACUACUUUACGCCAGACUCACUGUUUUCGGGAGUUGGAGCUGUAUAAAGAGCCGACUUCACUCUAUUCUUUUUCUUUCCCUGGUGCAAGAAAACACACAGAACUAAUGGAAUAGAAAUAGAUACUAAUGAGUUCAGUGCUUGUAAAGGAAACUAUACUCGUACCUACCGUACCGAUACUAGUUAACGUUUACUUUCCUGGCCAAACCCAGAGAUUCUCGUAGACUACUUUAGCACCCAACCCAAAGCAAAUAUACUCAUAUGAUCUCUAAGACCUAACUGGCACUGCUGAUGAAGAUCUUGAAACUUUGUAAGAUCUGGUAGACUCCACUUUCCAUGUCUUUUCUCGUUCUUUAUCUCUGGAUCCUGAUUGAACUGAAGCUCCAUAUUUAAGGAAUACACCACCUACUUAGGAAUACACCUACCUACUUAGGAAUAUACACCACCUACUUAGGAAUACACCUAACCUAUCGCAGUCAACUCCCUUCCCUCACUUAUGAACUGGAACUAGCCCUGGACUCUAAUCUACCUCUGUAAACUCCCAAUCUCUCUUCUCUUUAGAAUCAGAAGUAGCUGAACCAUCAAGGGAACCAGAAAGAUUAGAGGCGUCAAUGCCAUAGAACAUCUGAUAGGUGGUCAACCAAGGAAAAGAGGUAGGAAAGUCAGAGCCCCCACUAAAUGUGAUCUUCUCUUUAUAUAGGUGAACGGAUUCCACUCGGUAUUACUUUAGCACAACAUCUGAUCUGGUCGAUGAAACUCAUUCACUUACAAGUAACUGCUAUAGACAAUAGCUUGGUUCGACACCUCGUAUCAAAGAAAGCAAGUACGUCCGCCCCGACAGCUUAACUUGCAACUUCAACAAGAAAUAAGAAUAGAAUGGAAUGAGUUUACCUUAUAUUAAGUCGGAAGCCUAAACCUCAAAAGAAGGGCCUUACUAUUCAUUUCCCAACAAGUAUACGAGUACACAAGAUAAGAGAGGUGUGCGGUCUAACAGUUAGUAGUUGACGAGUGAAAGAAGGGGCAAACUCUUCCAUUGCAGUGUUUCGGCCUUGCUCUUGCUAGUUUAGUUCCUUAUUGGAAUAGAAAAGUAGAAGUUCCCAGUACGACCAGACCAGCCAAGGGCCAAGCGCCAAGCAGGAAAGUGACUACUAGAGAUAGAGGUUACUGGGCAAGUUAGUAUAAGAGGAAUCGGACUUAAACUAUGAAGAGGCAUACUUUGAGUUAGGAAUGAAAGGAACAAGUCUGAAGUGGUGUAUUACAAUAUUAGAGCUAGUAGUCGCAGGCGUAUAGGCAGGAGAUAUAGGUUCACAGGAAGUCAAGCAAGACUUGGGCUCAUUAAUGGCAGGCCCAUAGCUGUGACUUUGCAGUUUCAUUCCCUGUUAGUUGGGUAGUUCACUGAGAUACUCCACAAGUAGGUAACGUCUUAUAAAUAGGAGUUUUCAUUCUAUUCCUUUUAGCUGUGAUCCUAUUAUUAUUAGUAUAUAGCAUAAGCUAAAAGCAAGUCAAGCAAGACUAAAAGCAAGGGCUGCGUCAGCUGCGAUGGCAAAAGUAGUGACAUAAUUCAAAUAAGGGUAGCUAGUUCCAGGGUAGAGAGUGCAAGUAAAGGGUUUCGCUAUGGAAACAAGGAAGGGUAGACUAGACUUAGGAAAUAGAUAGUAAAGCUCAGCUGACUGAGAGGCAGGCUAUCUUUAUGUGGUUAGGUCUUCUUUAUGCGUUUAGGUCCUCCACUUAUGUGUUCAAUUCGAAUUCCCAUUAGUAGUAGAGUGAUGUAGUAUCACCCAUGUGUUUAGUUAAGGGGUCGGGUAGUUUACUGACUUUGUAGGGUAGUUUACUUCUUUUACUCGGAUAGGCUGGUUGACUCACCUUGUUUACUGACUUGGUGGGGUAAGGUAGGUACGAAAUACUAGUUAGGAUGGUAGUUGGAGUCAGUUACUAGUGUUGAGUAAGCCCGAAGUCUGUUACUAGUUAUGAGUAAGCCCAGAAUAAGAAGGAAGCCCAGAAGAAAGGAGUCGGUAGUAGUCUAAUAAGGAAUUGCACUCACCGGGCUAACGCUAUACAUUAGUAUUUGCUUGUCCCGUUACUUGGCGCUCAUUGACGCCUUUAACUCACUACCGACCUGAAUACCUUACUCCGGUCCAAGCUACUACUCGUGGAGUCAACAAAGAAUUCCACAAUAAAUACAGAAUUAAGGAGAAGCUAUGGGUGGCAUUAAGGAGAAGCUAUGGGUGGCGCUAAGUCCACUCUCUUCGCCCUCUCUUUCUCUUUCAAUUGAAACUAAGUCUUAAAGGUAUUCUUUAUUAUAAGUAAAAGAAACCCCAAUAUAUGAUAUAUUAUAUUAUUCUAUCCUCUGUCAACUAGGUAUAAAACUACUGAUAUCAAGUCUGGUGUUGGGUGGUAAAGAGGAAAGUUAGGGAAUAUCUUAUUUGCAUUCCCUUAGUUAGGUUGCUGAGUAUAAAUAUUCUUAUUUGCAGUAUAGGCUUAUGAGUUAUGCCUUGUUACUAAGGCCUUGUUGCGGCGGUCGCUAAGUAUACUGAGUGAGGAAGUCCAUCGGGAGUUCGCGCACGACACAAAAGCUUGCUUCAUUCUUAUCCGCUACUACUCCGACUUAUAUACUUAUUAGGAGAAGAAGCGAAAGAGAACUAAUACUGAGUCACUCACUCCUACUGUUGCUUGAAACCCAACCCACUCACCAAAACACGGCAAAAAAGGCAGCAACAAGAUUUUCGCUAAUAGACAGAGAAAAAGCACUGAUUCUUUUAUGAAACCCCGUGUUUUUUCAUAGCUUCCGUUGUUGGUUGUCUACUUGCCCUUAUAUACAAGCUCCUUGCCUACUUGGCCCGCAUCUGUAACUAGAGACUUUUGUUCUUAUUAAAUGCCUACGAGGUAUUUCUCUUUCUUCCCAUUCCCACUCCGAUCAUAAGGUAUUAAUUUACUCAAAGCAAAGAGCCAACUACGAAACUACUAUGGCUACAACUACUUAUUCAACUACUCAACUACUAGUUAGCGACUAGACUCCACUCUUACAGCAGCUGCUCCGGUAUCUCAAACAAAACAGGAUUUCCUUCCUUCACUCCAUUCCCUCAUACCUUUACUGUAUAGCUCGGGCAAGGAGCGUAAGCUGCAACCCAAUUGAACUUAUUAUUGACAACACGCUUCUUCUAAAGCAAACUAAACCCUGAUUUGAUAACCGACAAAGCGAUAGCGGACUCGGGAAAGAUGGAUUAAUACACAAUAGAAUUAGGGUUCCUAUUGCGUUAGGAAAGGGAAGGUAAGAAAAUAGUUGUUUAUUCUAAUGGGGAAAGAGAUAGAAUCAAGUAUAUGUUAGGGUACUAUUGUCCUUAAUGGAUUCAUUAUCUAAAGGUACCUAUUGCGGGUAAAGCUCAAUCAUUAAUUCUAUAACUGUGAAAAUCUCGGGUUCAGCUCAAGAAAUCAGUCUAUUUAGAGUUCAGCUCAAUCAUUAAUUAUAUAACUGUGCUAAUAUCGGGUUCAGCUCAAUCAUUAAUUAUAUAAUGUGCCUAUUUAGGGUUCAGCUCACAUUCUCUAAGGUUACCUAUUUAGGGUUCAGCUCAAGAAAUCAGUCUAUAUCGGGCUUCAAUCAUUAAUUAUAUAACUGUGCUAAUAUCGGGUUCAGCUCACUAAAACGACUUAUAUGUGGUAGGUCGGUCCCUAUGGCUUAAUCUAAAGUGCAUUUCGGUGCACAGGAAUCGAAUGAAGUUAACCACACCUCAUUCAUUUUGUUCCUUUUCCUUAACGGAAAUAAAGGCUGCUAUUCUCCAGAAGGGCGGGGCCCGGGACCUGCCGGCGAAAAUGUGGAGUUAUUAAAAGGCUUUUGGGAUGAACUCAAAGAUCACCUGCUUGUGUACUUACAGAUAAGUAUAUCAAACCGCCUCCUUACCUCCCGGGGUCUUACGUGGCUUGUGUUUCUCCCUAAGAAGCCCAAUGCCGUCUUUCUUUCUUCAUCAAGGACUUUCGGCCCAUAGCUUAUUGUAAUGUUAUCCACAAGAUCUUUCCCAGCCAAUAUAGAAUCUCAAUUCCAUUCCCUUGUGAGUCAUGAACAGUCGGCAUUUGUUAAGGGUAGGAAUCCUCAGGACAACAUUGGAAUUGCUAAUGAGUCUAUACUCUGACUACUUCCAAAGGCAAACAUCCUAAUUCGAUUCUAAUCCUGAUUUGACAUUGAGAUUCCGUCUCGUCUCUUGGGAUGCAAGAAAAUCCACCCUUCACAACUCAUUGAGUCUAGUAAACUUGACUUUCCAUCUAGUUUGUUCCUUCUUUGGGAUGCAAGAAAAUCUACCCUUCACAACUCAUUGACUUUCCAUCUAAGUUAUCGAUGUGAUCUCUGCUUGUAUUUCCUCGCCUUCCUUUGCUUGCCUUGCCUGAUCAACGGUAACAACUCCGAAGCGCCAAUAAGGUCAUUCAUUCUAAAGGGAUAUCCCCUUUCUUUGUUUCUCCCUACCUUUUUCUCUUAGUUCAACAGAUUCUCUCUUCUCUCAUCACCGGUUCAUAGAAAAGAUAUGACUCUGGAUUUGGAAUCGAAAACCUGAAUUGACCAUCUAAUGUUUGCGGAUGAUCUGCCUCUUACGAGCUAACCCUAAAUCCUUUACUCAUGUCCUAAGAAAUCCUUUACUCAUGUCCUAAGAAUGCUUGCUACCUUCUCCAAUCUCUGGAAUAUCUUAGCCAAAUCCAAUGUGUUCUUCCCCAAGCAUUGUUAUGCCUCUAACAAACCAUCAUAUCUGUAACUCGCUUUCUAUUAGUGAAGGAUGCUGGCAAAUACCUUGGCACUUAGGGUCGGCUUCCUUAUAGGGUUCCAAAUCCUUGGUGGAUAAUGCUCUUAGUAUAAUCCAGGGCUGACACAAAGGCCUGCUUGAACAAGCUAGCAAGGUUGGUACUCAUUAAUUCUUUUCUCAAUUCUCUCCCUACCUAUAUCCAGUUUCACUCCAGGGUUUCAGACAAACAGUGAAACAGGGUGUCGCUAUCCCGCUACUUCUUCUGGCCAUAAUAAUAGAAUCAAAAGCACUUGAAUAGAAGAAUAGAAAAAGCACUUGAUCCGUUGUGGGACAAGAUGAUUCUUCCUAAGGCCAAGAGAGGGCUUUCUAUUAGAGACCUUACAAGGGUAAAGAAGGUCGUGCGUAUCUUACCCAUCCUAAACCAUCACCACUCUCUUUUGGUCAAUAUCUUCCUCUCUUAAUAUAGCCACCAUGGAAUAAUGCCCAAGCAGGUAGGAUUUCGAGAUCUAGCAAUUCCAUUAGAAAGCUUACCUCCUCCAUCAGGGAGGGGUUCCGGAAACUCAUAUGCAAUGAAUGGUACCACAACUCUUAUUUGAAUGAAUGGUACCACAACUCUUAUUUGGAAGAUCCCAAUGCAAUGCCUUCAUAUUAUGGAAUUUCUCAUCUGACUCUGUUAUUCCAUGAUAUGGAAAAUCAUUGACUCGUCAAUUCCGGUUUAGGUGAUCCAGGAGUGGGGGUGGAAUCUAGUAUAUGGUGUAUUGGACGUGUCAGUAGUUGAUUAAUUCCAAUAAGUUGCCUUCCAAACCCAUCCUGAUGAAUCCCGGAACCAACUGAGUGAGGUAUAAACCCUUAGGACCAAGCUAGCGGAUCAUGACACAAUGUGGAAUCAGUUAUGUGACCAAAUUACCCAAGUCCUAAGAGCUCUCCAACAUCUUGAAGACCAAAACAUUAGGGAUUCGGUUAUGCAACAUAUGUCCAUUCUGCACAAUCCAUUGCUUUCCAAUCAAGGAAUUUGACCUACUCCCCAAGCAAGCCAGCCCCAGUUCGAACAAAUCCUAGGUUUACCUAUAGGGCACCAGUUGACAAUCAUGCUCCCACAAUUCCGGAUGCCCAAGCCUUUGACCUUAACGAUGAAUUCCUAGAACCUACUAGAAAUCCAAAAACCUGAGCCGAGUAGUAAUGGGCCAACGAGUUCGGUUUGCUGACAAUCUGGAGGAAAUGAUGGCUAUAAGAGUAAAAGUAGAUGUACGUACUUUGAUGGUAGGUUUUACCCAAAUGUGUUUGUUGACUGGUUAUAUAGCAUGGAAGACUACUUUUAGUGGUCUCUGGAAUGAUUGAUAUUGAAGUGUACGAUUUGCAAAAAGAAAACGGUCCUCCGCUAGGAAAUAUGGGCAACAUGUCCAACGUAGUCUCGAACACAGUCGAGAGCCUCCCAUCACUCAAUGGGAAGUCAUGAAACAAAAACGUAAGGAAAUAUACAAUUACCAACCCACUUUCGAAGCCAAUUGGUUUCACAAUUGUUCAACCUCUACUACUGUUUCAUUCUAGUUUAGCGGGGGAGAGUAUUUGGCCCAUUUUGAGGAACUUUUACUUAGGUGUGAAAUAGAAGAGGACCAAAUCAUCACUGUCCGAAGAUUUCUUAAUGGGUUUAGGUUUUACAUCCAACGGGAAAAGUCUCCCUUCCUUUGUUUACCCGACCACUAUAGAGGAAGCUUCCCCACUAGCCCUUGAGAUUGAGAUAAGCACAUAAAACUCGAUCCAAUUCGUGGAGCAUCUUCUCCGUCUCUCGACAAUAGAACUAUUACACAAUCAAACCAAACCAAGUAGUGGCUCUGUAAAGUCAAAUAAAUAUACUAGCUACAAUCCAGGAAUCCGCCAAUGUUAGUCUUUCAAUGCCUUUUGUGUGCUUCUUUCGUGAUUGGCUUGUCCAAGACUUGCCAAACCAUGAAUCGUCCAACUCGUUAAACUACGGAUUCUCCAACUUGUUCGUCUUCAAUCCUGUGUUGCCAUAAUAGACAUUGCCUCUCGGUGUCCUCAACAAUGACUCUUGACCUUAAAACAAGAAGAACCUAAGGAAAGGAGAAAAUAUGGGAAGUAGACCCAGUAGUUGGAGCCCGAAGCCUACUCAGGUGAAGUGACGAAAAUGAACUAGAAAUGGAUAAGCCGCCCAUGUUAAUGUUGUCCGCAUGAAAACGAACUAGAAAUGGAAGAUGCCCAUGUUAAUGUUGUCUGCAUUAUUCUCUCUAAAGCUAGUGAUUCCAAUGAAUGGAAGAGGACAAGUAUAUUCCUCACUUUUCUCCGAAGCAGGGAAAUAACUUGCUAAUUGGUUAUUGAUGGUCUGAACGUAGUUUCAAUGCUAUGCAAUAGACUCAACCCGACCCCAUGAAAAGUAGCCCACCGUGACCGAGAGAUGCCUAGUACCAAUCCAAAUGGGCGAUUAUCCAAGAUUCGAUUCACUGUUACGUCCUACCUAUGCAUGUUGCCCACAUUCUUUUAGGUCUACCUUGGUUGUAUGACCUUGAUGUUACCAAUCAUGGCAGAGAAAAAACCUAUGCCUUUCCAUACUAGGGAAAAAACAUUAUCCUGCACCGCAAUCAAAGGACAAAUCAGGAACUCCCAAGUCUCCUAUACAAGCCCAAACCACUAAGAAGGGACUCCACUGACGAGUAUAUGACUCCACUGACGAGUAUAUUAUGCAAAAUAGAGAGCCUAGACAACCAAUUUAGUGUAGCCAUCACUGCUAGAUAAAUUCCUAGCCCUUGCACCAUUCUUUACCUAAUUCCGGAUGGUAAGUCCUAAUUAGAUUCAUUUGAUGAUGUCAUACCCUCGGCAUUACCUAGUGCAACCCUUACGUGAAAUCCAACAUGCCAUUUACCUUCUCCCAGGAUCGCAGCUCCCUAGAAUCCCCCAUAGAAAAUGAAUCCUAAGGGGAGAGUCGAGUUAAACAAACAGAAUCACUUAGGGCUAAAGGCUUUGUACCCUUACUAAGCUGUCCCUUCCUUGUUAACUGCUAUCUGUCUCCCUGCCUUGUUAAUCGCUAUCAGUCCUAUAGCUGUCCCUUCCUUGUUAACCGCUAAGAAAGAUGGGUCGUGGAGGAUGUGUGUGUGGAUAGCCGAGCACAAAAUAACAAAUCAAUAUGGCUUCCCGAUGCCUCUACUUUAGUAUAUGCUAGACCUCGGAUCUAGUAGGUUUUCGAAAAUAGACCUGAGAAGCUGAUACCCCCAAAUUGGAGACCCUAAGACGAAUGGAAAACAGCAUUCGAAACGAAAGAUGGCCUAUAAAUGGCUAGUAAUGCCCAAAGGUCUAUCCAAUGCCCCUCAUGCGCUUCAUGAACAACCCUACAUAGUCCCAUUUUUGGUAGUAUACUUUGAUUACAUCUUUCUCUUUAGUAAGACCGAAUCAUUUAGAACAUCUUCGACAGGUUCUUACUACCCUUCGAGUUGCUAAGCUCUAUGUCAAUCUUCAAAGUGUUCGUUCAUACAAACCCAUGUCCUAUUCCUAGGCUUCAACAUUUCUGCCCAAGGUGUUGUUGCCACUGAUACAGAAAAGAUCCGCGUCUCAUUUGAUAAUGGCCGGUAAGCCUCCAACUAUAUCUUAGGUUCGCUGUUUAAUAGAUUAGUAUAUUCUAUUAUUCUAUAUGAUUCUAUUAUUUCUGUUCUAUAUUCUUCUAUUAUUUCUGUCUAACGAGGGUUGAGUUCUAUCAUUGCACCUAUCACUGAUUGCCCUAAAGAAAGGUAGGUUUGUUUUCUUUGACUGGACCCUGGCAGCUACCAAAGCCUUUGCGGACAUCAAAAUGCAAAUAACCACCGCUCCUGUUCUGCUGACUUAAGUAAAGUAAACUGUUUGAGGUAACUUGUGAUGCCUCUGGUAUCGUUUUUCUGGGUGCAAUUCUUAGUAACAAGAGGAUAAGCCUAUCGUUUCAGUGAGAAACUCAAUGAUGCAAAACAACAUUAUUAUACCAACGACAAUGAAUUCUAGGCGAUUGUGCAAUGUCUUAGGUAUUGGCGAUAUUUCCUUCUGCCGCAAGAGUGUGUCUUGUUGUCUGACCACCUGUAAGUAUGGUUGGUACUUUAAUGCCCCAAAUAAGUGAAAUGCUUUACGGGUUCCGUUUCUCAACGAAUACUCUGUCGCUGUAUACUUUCAUUCUGAUGCUUCUUAUCUUGCUUGUUCUUUUGCUGCUUCAAAACUCACUUUCAAACACAGCACUGCUUCUUUGUAAAGAGAAGAAUAUCGUUGUAACCCCGGAAACAGUGGAGUUGAGUUCAGGCAAGCAAGAAGAGCCACCAGGCCCUAUAGAGUUUUUCGUUCUGAUGUGAGCUUUCUUUGGAGGAGUCAGCUGUAAGGUUAGCGAUAACAAGCCGCUUACGGAGCUCUCCAUUAGUUUCGUUUGAAUGGGGCUGGGCUUCUUUCUCGUCUCAAGACCUAUACUCUGAAUUAACUGUAUUAAGAAAGACCCCUAUCAGAUUUUCUAGUUCAUUGACGGCACUCCCCUAUUAACAACUCAUAACUCGCGGGAAUCUUUCUUGCAGGGCAUAUCAUUUAGGAAAAGAAUAUUGCACAUCGUAACAAAGAAUUCCAUUCAUAUAUCACUUAUGCGCAUGGAAUGUCAGAAAGCUGCUCACUAAUGCACUGACUCUUUCCCUUACGUCCCCUUUUCUUUUAGAACCGAUUGCAUUGACUUUGUCUCUGGGUGGCGAAGGAGUGUCUUCUGACUAUAAUAUACUUGAUUUUGAGUGUCUUCUGACUGUAAUAUAUAAUUGGAUGGAAAGCACUAAAUGAUAGAAAUUCGCAAGGGUUGGUGGCUAUAUAAGUAUAAGUCAGCUGCCUGGCAAGGGCGAUAUAUUUACACCCCUAAACUAUCAAGUCAGAAAAGAAUGGAACUGCAACACCGAGAUCUACUUGUUUACUUUUUCCCAUAAACUAAAAGCUUACAGCUGGCUCAGUUCUUUAACUUCCCCGAACCUUUCCAUUCUAAAGUAGUGCACCACAGAUAUCAGAAUAGGAACAACACCUCACAGCUUAACUAAUUGCCAAACCUCACAGCUAUUACUUACUCCCUUAACAAACUCACUGUUAGCACCCCAGCACCCCAAGAGUAAGCUAACUAUAAGAGAUGAACCUAGCUCUUGAACUCCAAAGAAGAGAUGAACCUAACUCUGGAAACUCCAAAGAAGAGAUGAACCUAACUCUGGAAACUCCAAAGAAGAGAAGAUAGUUCAAACCACAUUCCGGAACUCACUCCAAAGAAGAUAGUCAAACCUUACUCUGGAAAACUCCAAUGAGUGUUAGCGCGAAAGAACGAAUUGAUGCAGACAAAGAACUCGCGUUAGCUAGAAACUGUACGAGAAACUGUAUUUGUUGCCCCCUAUACUAGAAUAUGGGACAGAGGUACCUAUACUAUACUUAAGGACGGAGGCAUGGGCGCAGUAAUAACAGUUUGAUACUUGUUCUCUUGCUUUCAGAAUGGAGGAUAGGCAUAGUUUAUGCUUUCAGAAUGGAGGAUAGGCAUAGUUUACUUGUUUGCUUGCUUGCUUGUUGAAUAGAGUGCACAUAACCACAUGUUUGCUUAAAGAACGAAUUGAUUGCACCCUACCCUAUAUUAGAGUGCUUCUUUUAUUGCAUAAAGCUUGUGGUCCACGAUAAUAUCCCUUACUCACAGUGGCAAGCGGGUAGCAAAGCAAAGUCGAAUCAACGGGCUGAGGUACAGUAUGCUCAGAAGUUUGAGCGGUGUAAACACACUCUGCCUCCUUCUUCCGUUUCAGGAGUCGCUUUGGGACUGCCGAUUUCUCCCGAUUAGAGAGAUUCUGAAUAAAUGCUAACCACAAACAAGGCAGAGUUGGGCGUGUGAAGAGCAGAGCCAGAGGUCUAACAAGCAAUGGCAAUAACGGCAAGAAAGUCAAUAGGACAGCUGAUCCCAAAUAUGAAAUAGCUUUUGAAAGAUCGGAUUCUUGGCUUUGAGUCAUAACAGCCUCGCAAUCAUUCCUCUAUCUCUGGUUUCUCAGCAUCUUUCCCACUUCUGAAAUGAAGUCGAACAGAGGGAGAGAAGAAGCUAUGCCAAAGAAAGUAAGCGGACCACAAAAGCAAAAAGGUAGUAAGUUCCAUUCAACCAAGCUUUUAUUUCACCUGAGUUAAGAUGCGGGCACAAGACCACAAGGGGCUGUAAACCCACAACGCCGUUAGCGAGUUCACCGAAGUUAGUGUUAGUGAAAUUCCAUGAUUUAGAGCCUGCAGUCAUAGGUGCAAGCACACACAGUCAAAAGGAGGAGCCCAUUCAUUGCUCUACCUAACAAAACAGCUCAAACCCAUAAGUUAACGCGCAAUGCUUUCUGCUAUUGGUAGUUUUCGGAGCGCCCUUUUCCCAGCAUAUACAUAAGUAGGGGAGUGGAAUCGGAUUCAUUCAUUAGUGUUUGUUGCGCUAACGGGAGUUAUACCUCGGCUCGGCUUGUAUUGCCUUUCUGAUCUCAUUCGUAUUCCGAUCGCAAAAACAAUGUCUUUCUUUAGUUAUAUUUGGAAGAUAAGUAGAAAGUUGUUGUUUUACUAGAACCAUCAGCAUAUUGUUUCAGCUCGGUGGCCAACCCAUUGAUUUGACUCAGGUAAAUUUCUGACUUCACCAUCGGAGUUAGUGAGCUGCUCGCCUCAUUCGAUGAAGACAAGGAUUGAUUGCUAGAGAAAAGGAUCUCCAUACGGUCGGUCCCUGCCUCUAUUCCUUCUUAAAGAAAGCUCAAAGUAGUCAAUGGACGGGAAUGACUAAAAACCAACCCCACUAUAAGAGAAUGCGCAAUAGAAGCGUCGGUUAAGAGGAAAGCUUGUCCGUUGGUGGUAUCAAGUCCGGGUAGCAAAGAAAGAGCUCCGUUAGCGCCUCACUGCCGCUGGAUUACAGAUGAUUUAGUCUACAGAUACAGAAAGAGCUGGAUCACAGAUGGAUGAUUCAUAUUAUUCUUCGCCAGACUUAAGAUCACACGAGGAAAGUAGUCAAUGGGCCUCGAGUCUAUAAGAUUGUUUAGUCUAUCGAUCAAGCAUUAAACCCGGCGAGUCUAUAAGAUUGUUUAGUCUAUCGAUCAAGCAUUAAACCCGCUGUAAAUAAAGAAAGUGGAACUGACUUGUGCACCUUAAUUGAACUCUUCUCUGAAUCUUUCUUACCUUGCUUUCUUCUCUAAAUAAUAGAAUAUCGGCACUGCUAUUCCUAGCCCAAGAGUACUUUACUUCGCUAUCCCUAGCCAAGAGAGUCGGGGUCUUAAAUACUGAGGGAAAGCACAACUUGAACGCCUUGUCCUACUCUUCCGAUUACAGAAUGACUGGUGCAGUGGAUCCAAAGGGAGCAGAUGGUUUUUCAAAAGAAAUAAGUCGGGAGGCAUUUUCCAGAAUGAUCGCUCGGUAUUACAACAAUCAGAAUUAUCGCUCAGUAGAUCCAACAAUAUUAGUAAUGAGCUGUCUCGCUCGGUAUCCUAAAUUGGGCUCUGUUUUUGAAGGCCCCAACACAUAAUGCUAAGUUAGUUAGUUUUGUAUAUAAGUUGAGAAUAUUACAUCUAUCUAUACGUAACUCCUCCGUUAGCGCAACAUUCUACUAAAUAAACUAAGCCCUUAUUUUCUUUCUGCAAUAGAAUCGGCCCCUUCUAUCUUCGCUAAUGCCUAAUCCACUGACAAUCUCCUUGCUCCCCAUAAAAUGCUAUCUUGACUACAGCAAGAGAUCGGCAACCGCUCCCCCUUGCGCUGCGCUACCUCCUCUCUAUCAAAUGUAAAUGAUUAUUUGCCUUUCAAGCAAACAAGCAACAUAGUUAGUUGCGCUUACUGAGUUAGCUGCGCCGUUGAGACAGAGAAAAAGGGGAUAGCUAAAGAAAGUGAAUUCGCCCUUCACGGAGUUCACCCUUUGUCAGUUCAAUUCAAAAGGGAAGCAAUGUAUGUCUUUGCGGUAGCUUCAUACCAUAAAUACACACUCAAAUAGGAAUGGAGAAAGAAAAGAAGCUGAGGAAGGGGAGAGCGAAGCGAGAGUGGGGACUAGGUUAAGCUCUACCUACUGCAAUUUCGGAGUUAGAUAGGAGGAGCGCCUUUGCAUUCAACAAUUCCAUUCCACAAUUCUUUAAUGAGCAUAAAGCGUGGAAAGCCAUUUCCGUAAAAGGGCUGCUAGCCUCUUUCUUGAGUUGAUGGGAAACGGUGGGCGACUGGUAAGAAAACACUUCAAUUCAAUAAGUAAUCCACCUUUUCUUUUCUGCCCGAAGGAAAGGGCCCAUCCAAGCAAUCUCCCGAAGUGGUGGCGCUGUCAAACUCUCUCAGUUGCUUCUUAUUUGAAGCGUUUGCUCCUCAAUCUGUCCCAACUCAGGAAUUGCGCCCUAAGAGAGAGAACACAAGAAAAGAAAUAGAUAUAGUACCUUCUUUCUCCCUAUAGAUAUAGUACCUUCUUUCUCUCUCGAAAGGGAUUGGGCCCCGCCAGUCGGUAAUUAGAGAAGAAGAUCACUCCUUCAGCAAACACAACAGAGGAAGUAGUAGUUAUAGCUUGAACGGACAGCACUAGCUCAAUUCCGGAUCAAGCCAUUCGAGGUGGACCAGCAUUCAUUCUCAAAUCCAGUAGAAUCCACCUUAUGCUAGCUGUCUUUUAUAGGCCUUCUGAUUACAGGUAUAGAUGGAAAUGCCCCUGGCUCCUUGGCACGCACAAAGCUGGCUCUCUCGAAGAUAACAGAGUAGGUCUCGCCCAAAGAGUCUUUCACCUAUAUACUUUCAGUGCAGCAUUUGUUUAAGUUCACCUCUUUCCUUUCUUGAAGCAUUAAAGAUCAACCCUCUAGAAUAUCCACUUAGAAUAUAGAAGUAGAGUCAAGAGUUCCGCUCAAUAAAGACAUGAAUAGCAAGUCUCUCUUCAGCAGAAGAAGGAGCAGAGUUCUCGGGUGCUUGACUGUAAUUGUGCGGUUCUGUUCUUCAAGUCGAAGCGGAUCUGGAGUCUUUAUUCUACCGGCUCACUAACGCAAAAAAGCAGAAAUCAAUCAAUACUAUACAAAGAACUCCUUAGCAAAAAGAGCCAAGCAACGCCGAAACAGAAUGAAACCACUGCCCACAAGAGUGAAACAAGUAAGUCCCGAACUCGCUAACACACACGUUAGUACUUAGGCUUUCCAAGUAAGUCAACAAAGUGAGUUAACUACCCUCGCAUCAAAGCCAGAUCCUUUUCCCGUUUAUGCUUUAUACUCGCUUCAUUUCUUUCUCCAUAGAUUUGAUUCUUCUGAGACUUUCAACUGAGAUUUAUGAUCCUGCUCCAUCUGAUGAUCCUAAUCCAUCCUAGGCUUCAUAUCUUAGUGAUUCUUAAGUAUAAAGUAGGCUUGACUCCCCAUAUCCUAGUGAUUCUUAAGUAUAAGUAGGCUUGACUCCCACGGAUGCUUAUUAUGCUCCUUCCGAUGCUGUUGGUGUUCACAGUAAACUCAGAAUGAAAACGAUUGCGGGCCUGGACUUGGACUGUCCUCAUCAUUAAUUGAAUCCUUCGUUGAUUUUGCACACUUGGUAUAAAAUAAAGUAAAUACACAUCAUCUGCACUUAGUCUUGAUCCGAACCGAAGUGAAAUCAUUCUGAAACGAAUAAAAGCCUAUAAUUGCAUCCGCUUGCUUGAGCCUCUUCUUAGAAAAAGGCAAGGCCCCGAAACCAUUACUUUCCCUUAUAGAGGAUUCCACUAGACUGAGAUGAUAUUUCAUAACCGAAAAGAAAGGUCCCUAUGCCUGAAACACCUCUACUACUUUGAAACGACAAGGCGAGAUCGACCUACCGAAUGAAUUGUCUUUACCGCGAUGACUAAUGCUAUAGGGCGCCAACACUUAUUGAACGUCUUGCUCCGGCAAACUCACUAUCCUCGCGUAGUAGGCAUGAGAAAAGAGAUGAGGCUUCGGCUUCCCAUCGAGUAUACUUGACUUUAUGGGCACUGAAGAUUCCUCCGAUCCGGCAUCUGAUCUUAGCACUGAUCCAGGUCUUGAAACAGCAUAUUAUCUUCUCUCGUAGACAACAAAGGUAAAUCGUGAUAGUAUAAAGUGGCGAAAGCAAGGUGCUGAAAGAAAGCCUAGUAUAAUGAGGUUCGGUGUAGAUCUUAACGCGAGUAAGUUGUUUGUUUCAGUCAGGUUAUGAUUUGAUAUUUGUUGAGGUGCAUAUGAAUUAGAGCCCGUACAGUUUGAGUUAGUAAAAGCAUAGAGAGCAAUAAAAAGAAGAAACUUGUAUUAAUAGAGUUUUCGGGGAACAAGCAAACAAGCGCUAAUGUGAGCUUUCCGGGGUGGGUCGCUUUCUUAUUGGAUUUUGAGUCAUUCAGUAGUGGUGCGUUAGCUUACUUCGGGGUGCUAAAACUAGCGUCGAGAGUACUCAUCUAACAGGGUUCCUCCGCCUCAGAGUAAGCAGUAAGGAGUAAGUCAGUAAGCCAGGGUUCCUCCGCCUCAGAGUAACAAGUCAAACAGUCAAAUCAUGAAAAUCAAAGAAUGCAUUUCAUCAAGAGAGCCGCCGAACAAAGAAUGAAUUGCACUUGCGUCUAGUAUAUCACAAUGUUACCUAGUUUAUCUAUACAAUAUGAAACAAGCAUUCUAAGUAGAGCUAUUGACCACAACCUCCUAUAACGCCCAUCAUCGCCAAUCGAAAAGUGCAUACAGUGGAGGGCCUUCCUUCUUGCAUUCUGACUAGUCCCAUUGUCUCUGUGUAACGAAAGAUAAGCUUUGAUAGGUUGAGCAUCACUUUACAUAGCUAUCCCACCUACGCUCAAUUGUUUAUUGGAUAAAGAAGGUGCUGAAAGCCCGGAUUUGCACUAAACCCUUUUUCUUUUGUUUACGAUUCAAUGUUCUUGAAUAAGAGAAGAGAUCGUAUAAGUCCAAUGCCUUCUAAACCAAUAGGGGGGAAAGUUUCACUAAGCCCAGAGAGCGGCCAUGAUAAGGAGAUUACAUUAAUGCCACUUACCGCUGCAAUAGCGAGAGCAAAGAAAGUGUAGUCGUGGCAAGCUUCCUCUGUAGCAAAAGAAUACCGAUAGACCAUAAUACACAGUGGGUACGAGGUGAGAGAAUCCGACUUCCUUCUCUAAUAAGGCCUGGUGUGCAAGAAAUAGAAUGAAACCAGUAGCUAGGGAAUCGAUUGAACUAUGAAUGCUCCUUCCUUCCUUCCUAUGUACACUGCUCCUUCCUUUAUUAGAAGAAAAACAAGCAAUAAGUACUCUCCUUCCUUCCUAUGUACUAGAUAUUGUGCAUUGCCUGAAGGUAUCGCUCUCACUUCGGCGUACAAGAGAACGAGCACCAUCCUACGACCGACAUAGGAAAGCACUGGCUUGCCCUCCCUAAAGGUGUACAUUUGAAAAGCGCUUCUCUUCAUCCAUAACUAUAUAGGUUUGACUCCCUUCAGCUUCAUGGAACCCUAUGGAAGGCUUAGUCUGUCCCCCGACCUGGUCCUCGUUAGGUCUUGUAGGUACCUAUAGUACACUUUCUCUCUCGCUCUAUUCUCCAGAACUUUCUUAUAAUCCCGUGCCAACCCUUAAAAACCUCUAGAUCCCUCUUUCCCUCACAAACCUAUAUCUCCCUCUUUUUCCCCUUCCUUCGUAAAGCUAGCAUCAAGGAUGGAGGAUAUCAAAAGUGGGGCGGCGUUACUUAUAGGGGUUUCUUUCGUCUGUCAUUGUUCAGAUGGCCAAAACCACCGUUGUUAUUAAACAAAGAAAGAGCAGAGAUUGGAUAAGUUAUUCUUGCAGUAAUCGUGUUUUCUUCCGAUAUUUAUUCCUGUGCUUCUCUCAGGGCAUUCUCCGCAUCAACAAUAGAACUUUCCUAUUAUUAUAUCCUCCCUAUACCCUUGAAAUAGCUCCUUAUGUGCAUUUAUGCCUGAUAGCAAGCAUUCCAUCUAACGCGCCUGCCUUCCCUAAGCGAACUCUGGACAAAACUAGGGUGCGCUCAGCAGAACUAAGAUUGGAACUUUGUAAUAUUUAGUAAGAUGUAAGCAGCAGCGAGGGUGCGAAACUCCCUUGGCAUUGGGGACACCCGUAGCGAGCCUGCAGUGCUCUGUGCUCCUUUGUUUGAGCCUCCUUGUUUCUCUGAGCUUUUUUAAGAGAAUCAAAUGAAGAUAAGUUCACUUGUCUGCUUGUCGGGUGGGGGAGCGAUAGUAGAAUCUUUUUAUGUGCGGGGAGGGUCCACUCCAGCUUUUUGAUCCUUCUAGAACAAGUCCAUUCCUUAUCCUUAGAGUGUGCUUACCCACUGGAGCAAGUGGUUAUGUUCUAGUAAAGUCAACUAGAGAAUCAUAAGAAGCUAGAGAAUCAGCAGUUUCAAUAUCUUCACUGCUGUUAAAGAAUCAGUGGUAGAAAAGAAGUCAGCUUAUAGGAUACAGAAGAUUAUCUCGAAUCUCAUUGCCCAAGAAAGAAUAGAAGCCGAAUGAAUUAGCGGGUAGCUCCAGAGAAAAUGUGUAGAUCUAGGGUUGCUCAAGCAAGAUAACAAGUAUGGAUCUAGUAUAGUAUAGAAAACUCUUUGUAAUCAUAGUAAGAGAGAGAGGGGAUCCAAUUGAAAUAGAAUUCUUCGCCUAAGGGGGUAGGGGUUGUCAAAUCUGCAGUCUCGAAACUCACGCUUGACUUCAUUCCUAAACUCACUAGCGCCGCUCCACCAGCUUGACUUCAUUCCUAAACUCACUAGCGCCGCUCCACCAAUAAGCUUACUUGCGCCCGUUAGUUGCUUUAAUCCAAAUAUGGUAUUGGCAGCCUUACCUUUAUACUCCGCACUAAAGGGGCAGAGCACUAAAGGGACAGAGGCAUAGGCACCCUUUACGACCGACAGGAAGGAACGAGUAGACCCACCAGCUUUCCUAAAUGUGUUGCAUAUAGUCCACAACGAAUAGAAGAUGGAUGCAUUACUAUACUAAUAGAAUCUAGGUACCGUACCGAUCUAUACUUUAUGAGCUUAUUUGCACUUCGCCUUUCCAGGAGCUCCUUGCCAGCUUGAUUGCGUGGCCAAAUCUUAUAGGGAGUAUGUCAUAUAUGGGGAGCAUGUGAAACAUAGGGAGCAUGUCAUAUAUGGGGAGCAUGUGAAACAUAGGGAGCAUGUGAUAUAUAGGGAGCAUGUCAUAUACGGGGAGCAUGUGAUACAUAGGGAGCAUGUCAUAGAAUUUGGGGAGUACCUAACAGCAGCCCCUAUACCAAAAGAAUGGAACAGCCAAAAACAACCUAUAUUAUGGACUUCGCUCGCUAUUAAGAAGGAUUAUUGGAUUGCUCUCUUUCCUAAAAGAAAAGUCAAAGGCUCUUUGGCCCUACUAAAGCUCCCUUUCUUUCCUUUCUCGUAUAGUAUAAGAUAUUCUCUUUCCUUUCUCGUAUAGUAUAAGAUAUGGUUGGUUGUACGGCUUUUUCUUAUCUUCUUCCCGUCCUGCUAUUGUCUUGUUUAAAUCAAUAUCUCCUCCUCCUCUCUCUCCUGCCAAUCAAUUGCUAUGGGAAUGGAAGGGACUCAAUUCUUUUGGUAGUUUCAAAUAACCAUAGAUCCUAUGAUUCCCGAAUAACCUUUUCUUGAGAACUGUUGCUGAAUCAAUGGCCAAUGAUAAGAGUAGGGCUCUUUUGAUAGGGGCUUUCCAUGGAAAAGAGUGGUUCGUUCAGAUUUAGCCAGAGCAGAAAGAAGGGUAGGCUCAAGAUUGCGUAGAAAAGUAAGGUAUGUCUAGGACACAAAUAAGUCGUGUCGUCGUGCUUCUUUUCUCUUUCAUUUUACAAGGAAGCACAUAAUUGGUUGAAGAUCACGCGAAUAAAACCACUCUGUAUCUUUUAUCAAUCAUAAAAUCUAGUAGCUGAGGAUUCGAAUCACCCCAAACCGCUGGGUGAGAUUAGGCGUGGACAGGAAAGUGUGCAGGAUGUAAAGUAGGUAGGAGGAGGGGCUUAGCCUUCUUACAGGCAUUGAAGAAUCGCUAAGCGCAUGUCACAAAGCAUUGAAGAAUCGCUAAGCGCAUGUCACAAAGCAUAUAGGCCAUAGCGAAGGAAAAGCGAGCCACCUCAAUGCAAAUUGUUUCAAGUUAUAAAGCCCAGAAAUGGAUAUUUUGAUACCCCUGGCCCUUUCUGUCUUUCUGGAAUUUCUAUUUGCUAGACUUCCGCCCUAGCCCUUCCUGUCUCUCUGGAAUUUCUCUUUUUCCCUAGGCCCUUUCUUUCUCUGCUUAUAUCAAAGCUGCAAAUGAGACGUACUCUGGUUGAAUCAGAACGACUUACUUUACAAUGGAUCCCCCCUCCCCUCCAAAGAUCUGUAUAAAACAGCGCAGGAGGAUCCUUCCCGAAGCAUAACCCAUUAUUACAUCUUCAUUAUCUAAGCGGACCCGGAGCAUACAGUUUGGAAGUGAUUCAGUAAUUUCACCUUCAUGAAUCAAUUUAAGGUCUUUCAUUCCUGUUAAACUCCAUGAAGUAUAAACUAUAGGAAGAAUAAGAUGGAUAACUUGAACUUUGAUACAACAAAGACCUAUCUAUUUCACAAAUAGUAAGUUAGAGAGAAAAUGAGUAUACCAGAGUCGGAGGAUCCCACAAGAUAUAUAAAUGAAGUUCGCCUCCAAUUGGAUCUCAUAGAGCUUCUCGAUCUGUCAUUAUACCUCGAAAAGUGUAAACAAAGAAACUUCCAAUCUGAGGAAUGGUAUAUACGUAAUCAAGUAGUAAACAGGGCGGAUACGCUUCAAAAUGGUGUUCCUUGUAUUCUUUGCUUUUCCUAUUCUUCUAUGUCUAUGAGUUUCAACCAAAGAAAGAUUUGUUACCUUCCUGAUGUUUCCGAAUUCAAUAAAACCUUAUAGUAUAAGUGUAUGUUCACCAUAUUGGAGGUGAUACAAAAUAUGAUGCUAUUCAAACUGUGUAUUAAAGUGUUUUUUAUUCAUGUCAGCAUUGAUUAUCUAAAAUAAGUCAUUAUAUCGGCACUAGUGUCCUUUGCAAUACACUGUUUAGUUCUACAUAUCUAUCUUGAGAAAUUGAAGUCAGUAUAGGAAUUGAGGACGCUGCUAAGCUAGUAUAAUAGCUGUUCUGGCUACCGCUUAUGAGACUCCGCCCAUUGAUUAAUGUUAUGAGACUCCGCCCAUUGAUUAAUGUAUUCGGUUUAACAACGGAUACCCAAUAUGAUGCCCUUACCCCAACCCAUACGUCUUUCCGCAGGUCUUACAGUCAAAGGGUUUGUUACGUCUUUCCGCAGGUCUUACAGUCAAAGGGUUUGUCGUGGGAAAUAUACAUAACCAUAUUUUGCACCGCGCAUAUCGUGUCAUUGAUCCUCGCCCCGCUUCCAUUUGUCUAGCAAUGAUAUAUGAUCUCCACAUAUGAUAUAUUGUAAGUAAGAAUCCAAUCAAUAAAUCAAGGUUUCGCGGGCGAACGAAUAUUCACUCCUUACUGUAUUAUUCCUAGGUAAACCCAUUACUUCUCCUAAUAAAGAAAGAUGUUCUCGGCAAGCUAUUAAUUGCCGCCAUCCCUACAAUGGAAUUAUUUGGAUUCGCUUUCCGUAGGUAUAAUCCUAUGCUGUUCACUGGUUCCUCAGUAGGUAUAAUCCUAUGCUGUUCACUGGUUCCGUCGUUCCCAUAGCUUAUACAUUAAUGGUUAGGCCUGAGUCCACUAAUAUCCUUUGAUGCCUAAUACUCCAUCUCCAUAGAUAGUUCGAAUUAGAUAGGAACAAUGAUCCACUUUUGCGCGAAUUGUUAGUAGGUGAACUACCCGCCCCUCUCUGAUCCAUUCGACACGUGCAAUUUCUUUGCCAUUGAUCUGACCUCUGCCAUUUUCACUGGAAAUCCUCUUGUUUAUAUCCGGCUUUCAUUCCUCUUGUAUCCGGUUGUUCUUCUAAUUCCAUAGCCUUUUCAUUGCCUAUUCACAACUACUGCUUGCUUGGCGUAUGGAAAUUGUAAAGAUAAAUGGAGCCAUAAUAUAAUGUAUAUGAGAAAUAUAAAGAAAUAGAGCCUCAUUGUUUAUAGCAGCCAUAAUAUGAGGUUGCUAUAGUCAAGGUUUUCUUGUGUGGAUCCAUUGUGGUUUGAAUCCUCGGCGGCACUUUCCAUUUAUUCUCUGAUUAGAGAUUCCAUUCGAGAAGCACCAGAACGAGGACAGCAAUAUGAUAUUCUUUUCUCUUUCCCUUUCAAGUAUCAGAAGAAUUCUCACUUGAUUGUUUUCGUUCGCAUUAUAACCCUAAAGCUCCUUACGGCAGGCACCCGAUGCUAUAGUACCUAAGUAGUCAGAUCAGAGAUCAGAAUAGAACUCACUGGUCCUGCUUCAUCUGUAUUUGCUGUAGUAGUUGACAUAGGAGAAGUAGAGUUACCAUAGGUAGAUGCGCCAGAGGUGUAGUAGCGUAGUUUCAUCAGUAUGAGUUUACAGAGGUAUCGGAUAAGAGCCCUUAUAUUAAGUCGGCUCAAUCAGCAGUCGUUGCUUGGCCCGUAUUUGAAGUAUUUGUUCACAGGGCUCAAGAUAUUCCAGUACUUGUUAACUUCUCAAUUCCCACUUCUCAAUUCCUAUAGAAACUUUAUGGCUUGCCCGGCCCUUUGCUUCGCGUCACAGUUCUAGCUGUAGGAUAAGAAGAGGCUGUUCACCCGAGAGUUAGUAGUGAUGAGUCUGUACAUUAUUAUUCUCUAACAAGUGUUACUUAUCGAAAGCUCCUUGUUUAGGGUUAACGUCUUGAAAGAGGUGAUUCUUUUGCUUGUGUCUAAGUCAGAACUUCAAUACGAGGUCAGGUCAGCAGAAACGCAAAGUGGAGUUAUUGUGUUGGCAACGAAAGAGAGAGAAUCCGCUGUUGUCGUAGGUGAGUUUAGAGUUUACCACGAGUCGAGAGAUGAGAAAUCCGUUGUUGGUUCUGAAGCGCUAAGUAGAUUAGCCAUACCAUAAUCAAAUAAGUCUGUAUGAACGAAAAUGAAACCAAUAACAUUAGGGUUAUCGAUCAGUAGUAUCAUAUGGAUCUGAAGCCUUAGAAGAUGCUGUGCUAAAGUUGUCUAUGAUAUCUUAUCUUUUGUAAUGCCCAAGUAGAGCGGCGGUAAGCAAAGGUUCAGCGAUAAGUAAAUCAGUGUCAAAGUAGUCAAUUGAAGGAAGUGCGUCAUGGUCCAAGCAUGAAACUGAAGUGUCCUAAAGUAGAGUUCUGUUCGAGGUAAAGUCAAAAGUGGAGUAUCCAGACUUUAUGCUCGAAGUCAAGUAUCUUAUCUAGUGGAAAGAGAGGAAGCUGUAAAGUACACAACUGAAUCCGCAGGAGAAGGUGAGUCAGCAGAAGAAUGGGCUGUUCCGUAUUACGUUUCAGAAUUCUUUGUUUACGUUACAGAUGAAGCAGUGGGGGCGGUAUAAAGGUUUAGUUCAUUGUCAGCAGCAAGCGGGUCAGGACCUUUUACCUGCAGCAAAGGGGUCUUAGGUCUGGUCUAUUGCUUGACGGGAGUAGUAUAGAUUAGGGGAAAGCUCCUUCUUUUCUGAUCGAAAGACACGACUCGCUAUCGCUAUAAAGGUGACAACCUAGGCAUUCCAAAGGAAGGUUAUUACAUAAGUCAUUAGAGCGAUGCCCCUUGCUUUGCAAAGAGUAGAGUUAUUCCUCUGGAGCGCAGGAUAGCCACUGACUCUUCCGAUUCAUUAAGAUAUAGGACAAGCAAAAGCCAACCCGUCAAAGUGAAGUAAGGUUCCGCAAUCGACGUAACUGGUUCAAAUACCAGAAGCUAGGUCAUAGAAGGUAGAUUCGAUUCGACAAUCUUAAGUAGUGGAGUAAGCCCUUGCCGGGAUACUCGACUGUCAGCCUCAGCUAAUCACUAGCUUCUUAAAGAAUCAAUAUCGUGUAAAGUGGGAAAGGAAGCAAAAUGCCAUCAUAGAGGGAUCAGCAUGUAAACUGGAAGGGCUAGGGAACUCCUUUAGCUCAAAGAAGGAUUUCGAAUUAGAGUUAUGGUCGAUCGGGGUAGCCUUACAUCCCUUUAGCUCAACGAAGGAUUUCGAAUUAGAGUUAUGGUCGAUCGGGCUUACCUCUUAGAUUACCCAAGCUAGUAAGUAAGCUAUUGGAUUUGGAUUGGAAAGCUAUUGGAUUUGGAUUGGAUGGAUCCCCCCAGUCCCAUAGUUCUGUAGUUACUGAAGGUAGAGUAGUAGACGGGCGAGGCCCACUGUUCUAAUCGGGAGCAAAAAGAAUUGACCUUGCUGCAAGUCAUCUGGUGGUGAAUCAUCUUUACUAUAGAUUGGAGAUCCUUCACCAUAUAUUCUAGCUGAUGCUGAUACCUUGACUUCUCUUUCCACCCGACCCUCUGCCUUUGCGCGCAUUUGGUGCGCUAUUGAAGAAAAGAACAAUUCCUAUCUAAGAAGAAUAUGACGUAGAUAAUCACAGAACGCUUCGCAUUGGCUAGCUUGCUUGGCCGCACACAUAUAGAUUCAAAUAGCCCAGAAAGUAGAUUCCAUCAUCUGCCUUUUGAUAAGAGUUUCGGUAUAGCUCUUCUCAAAGUGAGAGUUGGAAUUCUUCCCGACCAUUCCGAAGAGUAGGAAAAACAAACCCCAUAUGGGCUGGAUAUCUUCAAUACAACAAAGUAGAGUAGGUAGUCAAAGUAUUCCCGAUUUUUGGGAGUUGGCUCUACUCGUGUGCUCGAACUUUAGGAAGUGCUCUAGGUUGGGUUAUCGGGUGGCUUCCUCCUGCUUCGCCUUCGGGGACAGAAAGAAUGCCCGCUGCUCCAACUUUUACAAGCUAGCGAAAAGAAAAGGCUGCCUUAGGCGCAUCCGUUUACGAAUGAUAUCAUUCAAUAGACCUACAUUAGGGACUGGAAUACUCCUAAGGGGUGGUAAUCCGUAGAUCAAAAGAGAAACAUUGGUCCAAGAGGAGGAGAUCACCUAGCCGAAUUCCUUAAAUGGGCAAGACUCGGGUACUGCAUGCAAUAAGUCUAAUAUACUGAACUGACACAACUACAUAGAUCUGGAUUUAUUGGGGUGCGCAACCAUGGAAAUCUUUACUACAAAAAAGCCAUACCAUGAGUAUACAUGACCCAACCACCUAUCACUACCUAUAUAAAGCUUACAUCCCUGCUUAGGGAGUAUAGGUCAAUUUGAUAAGAAAAGUCAAAGGAAUCCGAGAAGACAAGACCCCAGAAGAGCAUCUCUUGUAAACCAAUUAUUCGAUCUGGAGAUCCAAGCAAGGCUGACGGAGACAUAACUAAACCCAGGGAUGUCUCUUGCAAAAAAAGAGGAAUUCGUAGAUCAUUUACAAGACAUGUACUGCCUACCCGAUGGAUAGAAUAUAGAAUUGACUCUCUGCCCUUAAUUAUAGAAUUGACUCUCUGCCACCUAUUAUUAGUAGUUGUAGAAUAGUCACCCUAUUUUGAUGUAGUAGUUGUAGAAUAGUCACCUUAUUUGUAUUAGUAGUAAUAGUCACCCUAUUUUGAUGUAGUAGUUGUAGAAUAGUCACCCUAUUUGUAUGCGCAUCCACACGACGGACACGUUCCAAGAUCUCCCGCAACGAUAACCUAACACAUGGUUUCUUGAUAGUAAGCUGAUUAAAUAAAUGGAUCAUAGGUUGUUGGUUGAAUAUUGAGUUCCGCUUAGGCUACGUGUUCUGUUCACGCGCUACUAAGCCGCACACAGGAUCUUCGACGGGUUUCGUCCCCUUUCGGGAACACCUUCUUACUUGUAGGGUCGGGGAAUGGGGCUAAGCCUGAUGCAAAUAUACCGAAAAAAGAAGAUAUCUAUGGUCGGAUUCGUAUAAGAGUAGAUUCGCCCUUUAUGUUAUGGCUCGUCCGUCUCGCGCUUAGUCACUCGCUGGGAUAGGGGAGCAGCAAGUCUUUUCUGAGAGUUUCACCUUAUAGCUUUCAGAAUGCAAUCUAGCGUUCCUAGUAAUAGAAUGGAGUAAACAACCAAACAAACCUCACUGCUUGUUGAAACCAACCCCUCACCACUGCUUAAAGCUAUUACCCCACGUAGCGGUAGCUUACAUCUUACUGAUAACUAUUUCCUUUAAUCACUCGUAUCGGCAGAGGAACCCCAUACAAAUGACUAACUAAAGGCAGAGGACUAACAAAAGGCAGAGGACUAACAAAAGGUAGAGGCCGAGGCUUAGGGUUCAGCGAAAGAUAAGUAACCUGACUCAACAAACAAGGGAACAAGACUCAAUGCAAACCUAAUUAUAGUACGGGAGCAGCUCAAUCCCUAUUUUCAGAUGCGUAUCCGUAAUAAAUGCAUUCAUAAGUUGACUCGGCGCAACAAGAAAGAUGACUGGUUGGUUGACUUGCGAGUUAGGGAACGGAGUGGAUAGUUUACAGGGUAAGUGAGCAGCUUGAUUACAUUCAUUCCUAGGAUAUAGGCGGGGGAGAGAGAUUCGGCAAUUCGAGAAGAAACAGUAUCAAUUUCGUGCGAGUCCUGUGUGAGCUUGCGCGUCAGUGGUUCUUUUCAUACAAGGACUUUCACUACAAAUACAGAAUCCAAGUUUGUUAGCCAGAGGCGGGGGAGAAGUCAAUUCUAACUGCAGAGUUUGGGGGUGGGUAAGGAGACUUCAAAUAAGGGUUAACCAACACCCCUUCUGGAUAGUAUCAUUCCUAUACAAAAGAAAGGGCUAAGGUGGGUCUGCCAGUACCUUUCUGAACUCAACUCAGUGGAUUUGACCGAGGGGAACGGAAACUACCUUUCCUUUAAAGACAGAGCUACGGCAGCUAAGGCAUGAAGAAAGAAAUGAGGAAACUUUAUAUGCAGUAGUUGAAUCGACUUCUCUGGUUGACAAAACAAUAACAGAGGUAGGUUCUGGUGUUGGCGAAAGUACAUCUGCCCGGAAGUCUAUUUCUGUUCUAAAGUCAAGUUAAGGUGUUGAAUUAGCAGGUAAAGAAGAUGGAAUUGAUUCUUUGUCUACGGGUGGUAAACUAACCUUCGCGACGUAGCAUCAGAUACAGGCCUGGCGAGCCCUUCAUGACUAAAAGAUGGGACUUAUAGUACGGACUUGUAGUUGCUUGGUCUUACUAUGUUACUUGGCAGCCUUUCUAAGUUGUUUGGCUCUUUGUAGUAUGGACUUGGUCAUUAUACUAAUAAGCUUGUUCGGUAUAUGAUAGCGGUAGUAUUGUUUCUUUGGGUGCUGUAAACUCAGUAAGCGUAAACAAGCAAAUAAGCAACAAACUCAGGACUCCGGACUCUAAUCUCCAAAACUCGGUAACCUAAACUCGCAAACCCCAUAGAGGCACCCAGAACUCCCUUUCUGGUUCUGUUUACUUUACGGCUUCCCCAAAGCUUCUGGACUCAGUUAUGACUUUCAUCUAAAAGCUUCUGAGACUCUAAGGAGGAGCAUUGCUUCCAAACAACGCCUAAUGCAAAACAGCAUCCCUUUCUUUGGCUUCUAAACUAUCUUAUGGAAAAUGGAGUGCACAAACGAAUGGAGGCAUAACAGCAUUGCUUCAAGACUCCUGACUCGUUGCUCUAUAACUCGAACCCUUUACCCUUAACAACAAAAAAACACUUCAUUGCUUUCCUUUGGCUUCCUAUCUUCCAAAGCUCACUUACAUACUUAGGCUUUCGCAGUUGCCUUGUUCAUUCCGCUCGCUAAGCACUUGUUCUUUCGCAGUUGCUUGUGCUGCUACCUACCCUUUGUAUUAAGAAUCACAUAAUCUUUCUCGGAUAAGACCUCUGAUCUUUAUCGGGAUAAGACUUCUUUUCUUUAGCGGCAUAAUACCACUGGCAUAAUACCACUGCCCGGACUUCACUUUGCAAGAAAGGUGCAGUUAACACCGCCUUAAAUCAAAUCUCUGUAUCCUAUAGAAUGUCAGUUAGUAACAACACUGCAAACUCCAAUCAAGUAAAAGAGUAUUUUAGAGCUUUACACAUAUUGAGAUUAAGUCAAGUCAGUCUAUUAAGUGUCAUGUUAUUCUUGUGCACUUAUAAGAAUCUUCUUGUUUUUCGGUUCGGUGUGUUGGUUACGUGGAUUAUGGAAUGAGUGAGUUAUAUUAUAUUAUUAAGUAGAGUAGAGUAAAGAAGAGUAUAUGUGAGUGUGUGUAAUUUGACUAUAUUAUAUGCUAUGCUACUUAUUUAUUUAUUUAUUUCAAGCAAUGUCAAUAACGGCAAGAAUCAAGUACUUUUUUGUCUAGGCUAGGGUUAGGAAAGUUAGCAAUGCAGUUUGUUUUAGUUGUUCCAUUGAUUCAUUUCCUCAUCCUCUUGUGCCAUGCUCAUUGUUGCCAAUGUAUCCAUCUGUCUAUGAAAGAAAGGGCUUCAUACCUCGGGGUAGCGUCCACCAGUCAUUCUGUAAUCGGAAGAGUAGGACAAGGCGUUCAAGUAGUGCUUUCCCUCAGUAUUUCAACACUUAUAAGCAUAGCUUAGGGAUGGAGUAAUAGUGAUGACCAUAUGCUAUACCUGUCUGGAUGCUAUACCUGUCCGGAUGCUAUACCUGUCUGGGCUAAGGCAGUUUUCUAUAAUCACAGCAAAGGUUUAGACCAUAGUGGAGUGUAAAUGGGCCAAGCAACGUAGCCUCUGUUUCAUGCACAAUAAAUGAAUUAGAAGCUCUAUUAGGCGUAUGACAUGAUGGAUUUCCAAGAAAACGACUCCUGUUAUGUUUUAGUGCAUUUGACACCUAUAUCUUUAGGGCCCAAACUAGAAUAUCUUCUGGUACACGACUAGACUCUACUUCUGGUACACGGCUAGACUGGAUGCAUUCUUGACCUGCUUACUUACCUGCACCUAAUCCUUGCAAGAGGGAGUCCCCACUACUAGGAAAACACGGAAUUCAUUUCAUUAUAAUAUAAUAUAGAAGAGCAACCGAGCAGACAAGAAACUACAGUCGGUUAUCCAUUAAGAUGUCAUUAAAGUAUCUGCAACGCGCGCAACUCUAAAUCAGUUGUUGGUUCCUCCGCAUAAGGAUCUGUUGUUGGUUCUUACGCGUAAGGAUAAGGAUCAAGUUGGCUAUGUUGCUUGUUUAGGAGAAUAUUGCUAGAGCAGUUGUCUUGACUUAACUCCCUUCUUUAAGAGCAUUACCAAUAAUGACCGACUAUAUGAAACUGACUCAGGGCUGCUAUCUUUCUUUAUUGGCUAAAUGCAUUAGAACAGCCGUAACACUUUACCUCAAUUAGAUCUAUCUCUUUUACAUAAGCAAAGUCAGACACAGAGGCUUAGAAAAAUAGGGGUUAAUCACUACGCGGGGCAAUAGGAAGCUCAGCGGGAAAGAAAGCUGGGGGUUCAUCCUUUGUUACUUCUAUGAUCUUAUUAAAUAGAGUGCGUGCUGCGGUAAGUGACUCAUUCUUUACUAGCGCUUAGUGCAAUGUAGUGCUUUGUUACUCAAUUCUCAAUUCCCAAAGCAAGAGAGAGAGAGCAAUUCUCAAUUCCCAAAGCAAGAGAGAGAGUGUUUUGUUACGGCUCUCGGUCUAUAUUAGGGUAGCUAUCUUCAAUUCUUUCGAACUAUACUGAACUUCAAUUGGACAACUUGGACUACAACUUGAAGGGGCACAGGUGAACUCUGGACUCGGUCAAAUAUGUAGUUAUUUGUAUUAAUGAAAUCUAUCUCACCCACCUAUAUAAAAGGAAUGGAGUAGCUUUACUGAUCCUGAGCUUUCACUGUAAACCCGACCUCUCCUUGAAUACGAAACAGGACUUGCCAUAACCAAUUGUUGCUGACAAAGAGUGAACUCUCCUUUCAACAGCUUCAUUUCUUUCUUAUGUUGGGCCUAGACCUGGACUAGACCUGGACCUGGACCACGCAGACAAGCGCAAAAGCAAAGAGAGAAGAGAACUCGACAAGCAGUACUAGAUAGAGCAGAAGAGUAAUAUAAGGGAGUUUAGUAUAGAGGAAGGUCUAAGUUAUUAGGUUAAUAUGCUUUAGAACAGCCAACAAGCCGAUCAUCCAAUUCCCAUUCUAAUACAAAGGAUCCGGGUAUAUAUAUAAGAUAGUAAAGACAUAUCGAGUGAACCCUCGCGCCCGUAUAUAUAUAAGAUAGUAAAGACAUAUCGAGUGAACCCUCUCGCCCAGCAGUAUAUCUUGUUUCUCUUCUCUCGUCAACUCUCAUAGCAGUGCGGAUUAUUUUCUUUACGACAACAAAGGUCAACCCAAGUCAAGUAUCCGAACCAAGUAUCUGAACUAGCCUUAACAAGCACCGCAUCAGUUUCCGCGGACGCCGUCAUUUCUUUUAGCGCAGAAAGCCCGCAGGAAAAUAUUUGCAUCAUUCAGAUCGGAUUGCCCCAACUUAUCUAAUAGCUUACUUGACUUACUUAACUCGCUCGCACCGCCCUAACUACCAGAAACCAUUGUAUUUGGACCACUUAGCCCUUAGUAAGUACUAUAUUAUUACACGGAACUGCUUGCUUACUUAAUGGAAUCUCUCUAUCGAGUAGCCCUAUAUACCUAAAAGCUUAUGAUCUAGCUGAUUCUAUUGUUUAUAAAACUCUACUUUCCACUUACCUUCCUUUACUAUUAAUGGCGGGCGUCAGCGGGCUUCAGAAGCUAGUCCUGUUUCGGGCCCAGACUCUGUUUCAAGAUUAUAAACAAGAUCAGGAUCAUCGGCAGCAAUUCCAGUUUAGGUCGGUGAAGAAGCUCUUUACUCUUAAGUGCUUGAGCUUUACUCAGUUGUGCUUUACUUUCUUUCAUCCAAUUAAGAAGCCUCAUCUCAGUUCUCAUGCCUACUAUGCGGUGCUUGCCCUUAAGUUAAUGGUGUUGGCGAGUUGCUUAUUGCGGGACAAUCAGUUUACCUUUCUUAUGACCCAACUGCCAAUAACGGAACUAACUCCCUAACAGAGACCAGAGUGUUUUAAGUACUUAGCGCUGAUGAAGGCAAUAAUCCAAGUCAAGGCCAGAAAGGAAGAUCCAAAAAGAUUAUAUGCGAGUCGAAACACGUAUAGAAACAUUCGUCACCAAACCACCGUUACUUAAGGCAAAGGCAGGAAAGAGGAGAAGUAUGACUCUAAGAGGUCCUAUGUUCUUAGGCUCAAAUUCAUUUCAAGCAGGGUUCAUGUCUUCGAAGCAACAGAGUAAGCAGCGCCGAGAUCAGGAUUAGAAGAUUGGAUACGGAUCAAAAGCUAGAUCGAGAUCUGGCCCAGACUCCGUUUCAAGAUCAUAAGCCGAAUAAAGAGAUGGAUCUGAAGAAGGAUCAUAUGAAGCUGCAAGCGCUAAUAGAAAAGGGAAUUAAUGAUUUGUUGACAGUGGGGGUAAGAGAAAGUGUAAGUAAGGCAGUUUAGAGUCAAGGGCAGCGAGGUGACUUUCCCCGGUCAAGGGAGUUUUGGUCGUUAAUAGUGACUUGGCCGUAAGCAAAAACUCCAUUAGCACCUAACCGAAGUCGGCUUGUCUGCGUACCUGCUGGGUGGUUCAAAACUCACAGGACUUUCGAGCAGAUUAGAUUAUCUUCAAUGUAAAGGCAGUAGGCUGAGUGCUCAGUAAACUCAAUUUCCAAGAAAAGAGGAAAAUCUAUCUCGCAUAAGAUAUAAGUGCGGAACCAUACUUGACUUAUGACUUUGAAAGCCCUCUAUACGCUUGAAGAAUGGAAUAUAGUUCAGGUUGCUCUGAUUGGAAGCUAACCUUUACCACGAACUCAACUAAUAGACAUUGGCAGGUUUACCCCUAAUAGAAAUGGGCCGGAAAGACUGACUAAUGCUAUAGGGCGAACUCAACUAAUAGACAUUGGGUACCCCGGAAAGAAACACUAAGGAAAGAAACACAAAGAACUCAACUCGACGAUGAAGACAGUAACUCACUAAUGCCCCUAAAGUCAGGACAGUAUACUGAAAUCUAUGCUUAAGUAAGGACAUUUUCCGGAAUUCUAUGCUGAAGUGAGCACAUUUGACUUUCUACAGGGCUAAGCAGUUAUUCUUUGAUGCUUUUUUCUUGAGUUUGCUAGCUUUACGGAUGAGGUUGCUUAUUUAUUGAAAGAUGAAGUUGCUUGUUUACUUAAAGAAAAGAACUCACUCAUAUCGUAGCAGGUUGCUCUCUUCUGUUUGAGGUUUAAGGCCCUAGGCGCUGUAACUCUACGACUUGUUCCCUUGCGUAACUCGCCUAAGCGCAACUAACAACUAAGCUUGUUCCUGGAAACAUACUCCUUGAGGAGAAUAUCGUCAAAAGACUGCUGACUGCUUGAAUUCAAGUAAGCUAACACGGCUGGCUUCCCCAAAGCUUCUUUAUCUCUUCCACUUCCGGGAUCUAGCUUAAGUCUAGCGUAUAGUCAAGAGCGCAGGGAAUUAAUUGAGUGCAAAAGAAUCCGUUACUUUAGGAUUAUGAAUUAAGUGCAAAAGAAAUAGGGGCAUAAGAGCUUGAAGUUGUUUGCUUGUUCUCUCAGUACCUAGCGCUUCCAUUCCUAGAACCGAUUCUAGAAAAUACCCCCGGAUUCCAUUGCCCCUUUGAAUGCAGACCGAACUCAAUUGCUAGAAUGUGCCCUUUGACUCCUGUGAACUCCCUUAACUAUUACCUUAGCCCAACAAGCAAGCAACGAUCCAAAUUGGAAGUAGCGCUUACGAAGCUAUUGUUUAGUUUCAAUGAUGGAUUUGGCAUUAGCUACGUAUAACCUAAGUUCUUAGACGAGAAAUAAGGAUGUUGUUGUUAGUGAAACUCUUAUCCCGGUAAACGCGAGGGACGCUUCACUCACGGUUGACUUCUCUUAUUUCUUAGAUUUAGAGAGGCUUGGUUUUGAUGAAAGAGGUACAGCUGGCUUUUGAUGAGACGGGUACUGCCGGACUCCUUAGGUUGAAAGGGGCAGGAGAUUGCAUAUCGGUACAUCAACUCUCCUAGUGUUGUUUGAUUUCUACUAAACCGAAGGAGAUGGGUUGACUGAAGGAAAGAGUGCUUCUUCGACUUGUGUGAAGCCGGGACGAGUUGCCCGAUCUGCACAGAAACUUUGGAGCCCAAGGCAGGUCGAGGUGUGAUUUGCCCUGGGGUGUCAAUACCCUUUCCUUUGGUUAAUCACCCGAUUAUUGAUCCCUUUCUGUACCCAACAUAAGAUAGAGGUGAAAGAAAUCGAUAAGUUAUAGUAGCAGAUGAUAAUAGAGAAGUUAUAGUAGCAGAUGAGAUGGUGCAAGAGAUGAUGAGAAGAACUAUGCUAGCUCUACUGAGAUCGAGGGAAUAAUAAGGCGCAGGCAAGUACGCUAGCGAACCAAGGGACAAAGAAAGGGUCAAAAGUGAGUUCGUUGGGGCCUAUAGUCAUUCCUCUCUCUGGUAGCAAUCCGGUCUGCUGUCGGGAGGAAGGAAGGCUAGCAGUCCUAUCAGUGCCCUUAUGCUAGCAAGCAAAGAAGCAGUGGGAGUCAAGGCAGUCUGUGCUUUCUAAGGCCUCUAUGCAAGUCUGUGCUUUCUAAGGCCUCUAUGCAAGUCUGCCCUUUAUUUAUAGAUAGGAGCCCCUCUCUGGUAGAAAUGACUUCUCCACUUACCAACGCUAUCUGUCCAACUAGAGAGAAAAGGCUUGCAAACAGGGCAACGGGGACCAACCAAUCUCACAAUCCAAAGUGUUCCAGCUAAGAAUCCGAAGUAGCACGGGAAGGGCAAGUCCUCUAUUAGUGUUCAUUUGUCAAGAGCGUAAUCUGUUUGGCUUAGUAUACCGGAAAAGGAAGAGAAGAAGGUAUAUACUACGAAUAUCUUCUGAUUCGCGGACGCUGGAAGACUUAUUUCGAGGGGACUUAUUUCGAGUCCGCCCUUAUUCUUAUUAAAUGAUUGAAGCUGCAAAAUACAAAUAUAUGAAAGAAACGGGGUGAGCUCAGGUGGCCGUCCACCUUUGACUUGAAACUGAUUUGACUAAUUGCUUGUCUUGUGCAUGUUUCGUGCAAGCUAGAAUGUUCCGUAGUUAAGUCCCUAGGAAAGAUCCAAAAAGGUAGGAAAGAAACGACUGUUUAUUUACAGGUUUUGGAAGGUGUUGAGUCCAAAUCAAAGGGGUGCUUUUUUCCUUUCCUCGCCAAGGAGCAAAUAGCCUUCGCGCCACCCGCCUGAAAUGAAAGAAAUGCAUGAGUGAAAGACUAUUAAAGUACUCAAUUCUUUAUCAGAGCUCAAACCAACCAGGACUUCUUAUGAAAGCUUUCUUUACGUCUUUAUACGCGCUCUAGAUUACUAUUGGCUGGCUGUUUGACCAUAAGGGUAAGGUUGGUGCGUUGUUGUCGCCCGUAGGCACCUGAAGUGUAUAGGAACUCCCCGCUUAAACACUAAGUCGGUUGAGUCGCUCGGCUUAUCACACUGGACUUUACGCCUAGUUUAGCAAGUAUAUGUAGAAAGCGCCUUUUGUCAAAGUUCUUUCUUUCACCUUACUUAUCUUAAAAACCUAACUACCUGAGAGAACGGAGUCUGCUAAUUGUAGAUUCAGAACAGAAAUACAGGAGGGUCAGAUCACAAUGGGUAAGCAAGCCUUGCAGUGUUACCGCGCUAGCAGACACCGGCUACCCCAAAGAGUUCAAAAGAAAGAAAGCCUAAAGAAAAGAAAGACCCUUCCAUUAUGAGACGUUAUUUCCAUUAUGAGACGUUAUAUUCACUUGCAAUCCCUUACGCAAUGAAUCCAAGUUGAGAACUUUCGGCAGUGUCCACUCAAGAGAACUCUUUCAUCCUAAGAAGCAGAGACCGUAGAAAGUAUUAUGCAACUUUAACUAGAAAGCAGACUACUUAGAUAGAAAGCAGACUACUUAGAUAAUAGUUAUUCAUGUAAACAUACCUACGGAAAGGAAAGAUCUUAUUAUAAAGGAGAAAGCCAAGCCAGUGAGACCAGAGAAAUCCAGUAUGGUUACAUAAAGAAGAAGAACCAGUUGCCAGAGGAGGCUAUGAAAUAGUUGCCAGUGAUAGCUUUGGCAAGCUAACGGAAGGAUCGAGGAGAAAACGAACCUCUUGUCAAUAAGUUUUCAUAGAGAAAAGUAAGCGAGUGGAAUAAAUGGAACGAGUAUAAGGGCGAGUUUGUAGGAGAGUUUUCUAAGUGUUCAAAUUGUAGUAAGCUAGCUUUAGUUCCGCUCUAAAGCGAGUGUGAGUUUCGUUUAGAAUCCUGUCUUGUAGGGGAAGUAAGUAGAGUCAAUAGAUUGGAAUAAGUCCUUGUUUCUUUCCCUUUUACGUUGAGGGAGCUAGUAAUGUAAGUGCUCGUAAUAAAGAGAGUAUAGGAUAAUAUGGCCCCGUAAUAAAGAGAGUAUAGGAUAAUAUGGCCCCAAUGAUAGCACGAGCACGGAAGCCCAUGAAGUUGGUUUAAAGCCACAAGCCUUUGAAGGGCCCGGCAGUUUAAGGUCUCAGGUCGUCCGGAGUCAAGUUCCUAUUAAGGAAGAUAAGAUGUUACAGUUAUCAUUACAAGGAUCUGCCAGCGGUCUUUGAUUGAAAGAGUGCGGUACCGGUACGAAUGACUUUAUUUAAUUAGAUAGCCCCUCCUCUAAUUCCACGAAUAGAUUCGAUCCCUUAUCUUCUUUUUGACUCUUUUCUUUCUUUCUUUCUUCUUGAAGAUUGCACUAGUUUUAUUAGCCUUAGUUUUCUUCUUUUGUUGAGCCUGCCUACCUUUCUUUCUUUCUCUCUUCAUCUCCGAAUAAUUGGUAAGUGGAAAGCUUCUUUCUCUCCUCAUCUCUGAAGAAUUGGUAAGUGGAACCAGUCAUGAAGCACCGGGGGCCAUGGGAUAACCUAUGGGAUAAAAGCUUCCUUCGAUAUUUCCUAGUUUGAUAAUCCUUGAGAAAGAUAAGCAAGGUGUCCAUCUGGGGAUUCAUUCCUAUCCGAGAACGGCUUCACCGACAACAUGUGGCAAAAACGGUCUUUGUCGGUGGCCUUGGAAAUAGUGGAAUGACCUUUCCAAUCCAUAAGAAGAGUGCGCCUUUCCCUGUAUUGGAACGAUUUAGUAAUGCCUUGAAUUUCCAAAUGCCCAAGAGUGGAGUUACAAAUUGCUUAUUGGGAAUCUUAGCUUCGCCUUAGUAUACAGGCAUUCCCGAGUCUCUGCUAUUUCCUAUAUCGCUGGGAGAUUAGCAUUUCGAAACUCAUCAAAAGUACGGCAUAGAAGAUUCGUGGCUUUAGUCAAAAAGCAUUCCCCUAGGAGCGAGUCCCAUUUGUUCGCUUUCGAAAUCAAAGUGGGGACCAAUCUCGAUUCAAGUUGCUCAACUUAUAAAGCUUUCCGCUACUAAAUAUAAAGAUCAUUAAGUAGCCUAGCCCUUGGAAUCAAUCUCUUUUGUCGGGGAGCUUGCCGGGUAUGGUAUGAGCUUCUAGUUCCAACAACAGCAGAAAUGGCUUAUGUCUCUCUGGGAAAUUCCCCUCGGGGAACGGAACUCCCUUCCGGCAACAGAUUCCGCGGACGAAGAGGAAUGCGACCCUUUGCUUGGCUUAUUUAAGUAAAUACAGACUGGCUCGCUCCCCACCUGGAAAGAAAGGGAAGCUUAAUCGAAGUUGCUUCCUAUUAACAACCAACAAAGAUGGAGUCAGUCUUAUGCGUUUAUGCCUAACCCCGUGAGUCAUUGCACUUCUUUAAAUGAAUAAGAAGAUUAUGCCUUCCCAAGUAGAGGCAUAUAGAUCGUUACUGUCUCACACCCGGGAGUAAAUCACUUGCUAGCUUACUACUUACUUAGCUGAGCUCUUUAGCAGCAGAGACCUUUCACAGCAACAGUUAUGCGGCGUUAGGACAGCGACUACUGCGUGUUUAGGCCUGCUACGGUUAGCUCCUUAGAAAGACACCUACAACUAUUAACCCUAGGACAGCUCCUCAUUGCGGCGAUUCACAAUAAGUGGCGUUAAUAGCACCGAACGAUAAGGAUUGGAUUGGGUUCCGUUAAGGUCACCUAGAGGUUUCUUUCAAAUCCAUCACCCUAAUGCCAAUCGAGCUUGUCUUUGAGCACUCAAAGUAUUCAGCAAUACAAGGCCCGACAGGAGUUUCCGUUAUACUAGAGGCGAAGCAGGGGUCACUCAAGUAUAUAAUAUCAAUUUCUUAUCUCGGGGUGCCCUAUACGUGAUGGUCAAUUCGUUUAAGCAAUUAAGUAAGCUCUGAAAAGAUUCCAACCAGUCUUAUAGAUCCAGAUCCACUGCUAGCUCCACUUCCUUUCUUCACAUCUUUGAGAAAUAAUAAUACCCCAAGAAAAGACCGCCCCAGCUGGUUUAGGCUUUUGGAGCCAAUGGGAUUACUCUGGGACCUUACCUUUCUGUUCAUUCUUUGUUUUCUUUAAGGAGCUUAACCUAGCGAGUCAAAAAGAAAGAGGUUAUUGACCGUGUGCCUGACUGUAGAGCGUAUUCUUUGACUUCAAAAAAGGUAGAAUUGCACUUAUAGGGCCGUCAAGGUCAAAAGACAGAUUCUCUUCUCUUUCUGGUUCUGGACCAAUACAAUAGUGAAAGAGUCCGGCUCUUAGCGCAAAGUAGCUCGGGGAGAAUCCGCUCUUGUCUCUUCUUUCAGAAGCUAGUAUAAAUCCACUGAAUAGGAAAAAAUCCUCCUAGAUUAGAGCAUCAAAUCCUCAUUAGUAUUAAUGGGGUUACGAAAGGUUUAGUUUGAGUGGAGGCAGGUCCGUUUCUAAGGUCGAGUGCCUAGACCUACUCCUUAGUUUGGGAAAACGACCAAAAGCACUAGGUGUGAUCGAGCUCUUGUUCGUAUAGUACUCAUCUUAUUUAUUCCAUACUGGAUCGUGAGCUACCUUCUAAAAUAAGUUCAUUCGGCGGCAUAAGCUUGCCGUUAAGGUCAAUUGAUGAGAAUGAUGUAUUUGAGUUUGGGGACUUACUAUUCUUCCUCUGGACGUUCGGUUCGAGCUAUUUAGAAAAUGGUUAUUAUACUAUACUCUUUCUUGAAGUCUCGACUGUCUCCACCGGGGACUCCUCUUAGUCCCAUCCAAGCAUAUCUACGAGACCUGCAUAUCCCACUUAUUCGACUGAGCAAUAAAAGAAUGGGUGAAAUGCGGAUUGAAAGCAUUGAUUUUACCUUACCUCUGAUCUUGCUUAUGGAAUUGAAACGUAAGGAAUUGACCCGGACCUUGAUUAUGAAUCUGAUCCAGAUACUGCUGAUUCCAUCUUUCGUCGCCAAUACCAAGAUAAGACUUUCCUUGCUUCCACUGAUUCAUCAGAUUCUCUUAUUCCAGUAUCUUAUCGAACUUAUGAUUCUUUUGUUCGUUCGUACAGCAAUAUUCUAUCGAGUUCCGUAUCCGGCUCCAACUGCUCUAGCAUCUUCACCUGCUCCAGCAUCCUUAACUACUCCAUACAUCCUUAACUAUUCCAUACAUCCUUAACUACUCCAUUUAUAUACAGUUGAUGAUCGAGUUCCCACUUCUUCUGAGGAUCCCGCUUCUAAUUCCUAUAAUUCUCCAGAUCUUGAGAAAGCUUCUGAUCUUUUGGCUUAUUCUUUAUCUUCUAUUGUUCUCCAACUCAAUAUUCUUCUCCAGCUCCUGCCGAUGAUCUAGAUAAGCAUCUGAUAUGGUUCCCGCUCUUCAAACUCUGGAUUCUCCUUCGGAAGCUUCUGCGCUCGACUCUAAAUCUGGUAUUCAAGCCUAAAACUAUCAAUAGGGUAUUAAAGCUUUCAACUAUCCAUAGGGUAUUCGAGCUUUCAACUACAAAUCAGAUGCUAACUAUAAUCCAUGACAGUUUUCGGGAGUUAUGCAUUAGUAUGAGUGAAGAGCAAGUCCUGUGUCCGCCUGUUUAAGCCCUCCCUUUUAAGUCAAUAUUUGAAGUACCUAACCUAGCAGCCCUAGAUAAGAUGUCAUUUGGUUCAUGCCAUCGGUACCUGCCAUUAAGAAAGAAAAUGGAACUAAAGCAUUUCACUCUCCAAUAGGAAACUGUUGGUUGAUGUAGUAAGUAAGAGAAACAGCCGGGUGUUUCAUGAGUGGUAUCCUCGAGAAUGAGUAGCACCUUGCAAUCAUACCGAAAUCGUAUUUCCUUUUUCACCUUAGAGCCUACUACUAAUUGAAGUAAAGAAAAGAUAGAAUCAAAGACAAGGGGGCAGGAAAGGCGGGACCACAUAUAGCACAUAUAGGUUUGAAAGGAGCAAGCCCGGGAACAAAACCAAGAAAGAACUGGCUAAUAAGUAAGUCAAACAGUCAAAGGCAGGAAGGGUUGUUUGGGGAACGGUAGCGCAAGUCUUAUCUUAUCUUAGUUUGGGGAGCGUGGGUCUUGUGGCGAAUAGUUAGAUUCGGUGCACUGAGUUAAAGUAUCGGUAGUAUUUUAGUCAUUCUAUCUUAUAUCUAGUAGUUACAGUCGGAGAAGCUAGUUACAUUCCUUUUAGUAGUAGCUCGAGUCUUGUUACCAGCUGUUAUAGGUUUCAAGCAGAGGUACAGAGUUCGAAAGCAAGUACAGUAGGGCUAAAAGCAAAGGCAGCUUAAGUGUCAGUAAAGCCAUCCUUGGUACAUAGGGUCCGGUAGCCUUUAAUGGUAACCCCAAAUUCGAAUAUGGUGGGGGAAAAGAGGCAGAAAUGAAUAUACGCGAAAAGACUACCGCGAGCCAUACUCAACCUAGUAGUAACGAGAAUAAAUCAAAUACAUAAUAUAGAGGUACGGCCCAACGCCUAAGUGGUAUAAUCAGAGAAUGCAACCAGUGCUAUUGGAAUCAACCACCAUCAACAAUACUUUAACUAAGAACUGGGGCUUGCUUUCUUUAUUGCCCGCUAGCAGACUUAUACUCAACACUAAGAAGCUUAUAAUAUGUUAACUCACAAAUAGGAAUCGAGCGACUGUCUCUAAUACCUCAACUCAGGAGCCGGAUCCUCACUUUCCAAUAAUCUAUUUUGGGUGGUUGCGCUAUGCCAGCCUUACUCAUAAGCUUAGCAAUCAUACUAUCUGUAUCGGUUCCCAAGCCUUAUUCGUUAGCUCCAUCGUUCUACGCCUCCUCUGCGACCUCCCUCUCUCUUGACCAAACCUAUCUAUUUUUCCUAUUAUUGUGUUAUCGUAUAGUCAAUUAGGCUUGGAAUUGGAUAAGGUUAAUAAGAAUCGAAUCGUAGGUUUGUUGUCGAGCAAGGAAAGUAAGCCCUAGAGAUAGGAAGUACAUACUUAGAUAGAGGAGUAACAUGCUCGUGGAGGAGCGUUUCUGCUGGUGUUCUGUGCGUGGUUCCUUUUCUUCGCAUUUUCAUUCUAAUUAGUGGGUAGUCAAUUCUUUCUAGUAUAGGUUCAAUUCCCUAUAGUCAGCAGUUCAAAGCUGAUGUUCACUAUUAUAUUAUUAUUAAGUACCCAUUCUUAUAACCCUUAUUUCCAUUCUGAUGCUCUUACAACUUCUAUUCCGUAUUGCUUUAUUGCUUGGUCGAUUCUUGUCAAUAGUUUAGUUCCAUUCCUUUUAGUAGUAGCACGAAUCUAGUAUACCCAAUAGCAUUCUCGUUGACUCCAUCAACAGGCCAGGCCGUCUUCCCAUUAUGUUACUACAGAGUUUCAUUCGGUUGAGUAAGAGGUCAACCACAACUUAAUUGCUACUGGCAAGCUACUAUACUACUAUCGGAAUCAAACUAGCAACUCUGUAAUUGAUGAUAUUGGCCUGAUAGCAAAUCUGUCUGCUUCUGCUUGUUGGCUUGGCUCGGUUGCCUUUGUAGUUUCUUACCUUUAGGAGAGGAGUCCUGUGAACUAGUAUAUAAGGGCCCGGGUUUUAUUGACAGUGACUAGGCUGGUUCUCUUUACACUCUAGUAGUUUCCUGCCCCUGUGACUGUUGGAGUUAGAGAAGAAGACCGGUUAGUAGAAUAUUCAGAAUUCACCUAGUCAUCAAUAAGAUAGGUAGGCACGGGAAGCAGUGUAUUUAAUAAGAAGAAAGGGAAGCAGUGAGUCUACCAUUUAUUAUAAGGGCAGAGGCUAGAUCCGGAGCUGGCUUAGUCUUAUUGGGUGCUAGUGUUGUCGGUGAAGAAAGGAUAUCGGUUGGAAGUAGCAGUAGCAAGAGGAGAAGUAGAUUAGUUUACCCUUCUUUCUUUAAGUGGUGGUGCCAGUCCAGUAGUCGUGUCUUGGCUGUAGCCUGAGGUAGAUGAGCCUGAGUCGAGGUCUGCAAGGGAACCCGCAUCUGUCCUUGCCUUGAUGAAGUAGAGUCUAUUUGGGUUCAAAUGAAAGGAGAGUUUCAUCAUACUAAGAAGAAGAGGCGAAUACCGGUGCUAACUUAAGCCAGUUCCGUAGUGAGUGACUUCCAACUUUGAAAACUGGUAGAAGUAUAAGAAAAGGCCCUAUACUACAUUGCUAUCGCAUUAUUGUUCCUUGAAACCAACCCAUGGGCAAUGCACUUAUACAAGAUUUCAUCCAGUCCACACUCCUGUCCAGUUAAGUUGACAUACAGGUCUUUCUAUUAGAUUGAGAAGAAGGCCUCGGGUCGUUUUAUAGCUUAUGUAGUUCAUCAUGCCUUUUCUUUUCUAUAGAAAGAAGACAUAGAACCUCUUGUUCACGCCCGCCCGUAUCAAAGGACAAUUGACCCGAAGCGAGAGUCCCUUUUCUAUCAGGUUCUUCUUCACUCGAGAUAUUCCAUGUUGUAUUUGUUGAGACAGCAGUAUUUGCCAGCAGUUAUAGGUAUAGCAUUAGAGAGUUUCUAGGUCAAUUCCUGGAGUGGUAAAUUCCAGCUUAUCUACCACAUGCUUGUUUAGUUCUACUAUACGCUCUAGGGGCUUGCUCUUGCGAAACGGCAGCUAUUCCUUUUUCACGUGCGUCGAUUCAACAAGUGGAGGUCGGGUCUUCUACUAUCCUGCCUAUCUUAUCCUAUCCUUCCUAUAUACAGAAGUGAAUGAUUUGUUUCUAGUUUCUAGGUCACAGUCAAUUCCGAAUUUCAUUUAUAUUCAAAAGAUAGAGAUUCCAUUGAUUAACUUCAAGUAGAAGCCAGGUCGGCAAAAGAAAGAAGGAGCUUGAUAAUUAGCUGGGCUAAAUAAGCUCGUUGAGUGCGGUUCCUCAAGUUUCGUUCACCAAUCUUCAAGUCUUGUAUAUAAGCGGGUGCUUCCGUGAGAUCAGAGUUUUUUAAGUGCGGUAAGCAGUUCGCUUUGGAGUGAGCGGUUCCUCAAGAGUCGAGACCAGAGAGAGAGAAUCAGACUGCACUAAAAGGUAUAGGCCGGCAAUGUUGGGCACUAUUCUCUUCUUUGGCUUUGGAUUGUUACUUUCAUUCUAUUAUGACCCAGUGGAAUUCUCAUCAGUCGUAGUUAGAUCCCCUGUUCGAGUUGGCUUCCCGGCUAGUGGGUUAAGUCGGAUUAGGUACCCAGUCAAUCCGGCUUCGGGGGUUGUGUCUUGGAUUCUUGCUUGGUGGUUCAAGUCUUCUAUUCUAGUCGUGUUCCGCCCCUGUGUUCUGUCCUAGUAGUUACCUUAUACUGAUAUUCCUAUGAAGUCUCAUAACCUAGGGUAUUAGUCUUAGAGCUAGAGCCCCUCGUCCAAGAAUUCAAGCUAGGAGCAGGAGGCUAUAGAGCUAACAAGCAAGAGUGGAGUUAAUGAGUAACAGAUCGAGAAUGUUCCUCUUUAGUAAGAAUAAGUCCAAUAAGCAAGGCUCGGGCUACUAUAGUGAAUUCUGGAUUAUGAAAUUCCUUCUUCUGAGUUCGAUUCUUCUGUUGAUGUUGAAUUCCUUUAUAGUUACAUUUUGUUGGGCAGUGUUCAAUUCCCUACUCCUUCCCUAGAGAUAUAGCGUUGUUAUCACUAGUUUGAUUCUGGAUUAUAUUUCUAAAGAACAAGUAUUAUAAGCAGUCGUUAUAAUUUGAUAGACAGGAAAGGAAGGCGCUAACUAAGGCAUGUAAGGCAGGGGCGUUGAACAAGUAAGGCUUUUGGACAACUCAAGACAAUUCUUAGCUGCGACUCUAUAUCCCAUUACUCAAUUCUGUAUUUACUACUCGGGAACAGUAGUUCAAUUCCUCUGGGCAUUCACCUAUUCUUAUAUUACAGGGUUUAGUUCUUAUCUCUCAUUCCUCCUACCAUUCCUUUACUACUUUCUUUCGUUCUUACUAAAACUAUAAGUCUGACCACUACAACUAUUGGUCUUCUACUGACCUAGAUCAGACUCCUAGCCAGGGUGUUAGGAACAAUAUAGAGAAUGCAAGCGGUGUGGGGGUUUCAUAAUUCUAUAAGUGAGUUACAGACUGGGGGACAGGGGUGUAAUACUGGCUUUGUGCAUUAAAGAGCAAGACUUUCACUAAGGAGUGUCAGACUGAAAGUACUUUUCACAGCAAACUUAUCCGAUGCGGGUGUUAAGAAGCGAGAUCUGGAGUUUUUGUUUACAAGCCAAGGCUUUAAGGCAGUAGCUUCAAUCUAAUCAGUCAUAGUGAAAUCCUUGUUAUUGUUAGCUCAAUUCCAAGUUUCCAGUGAAAGCUACUAGGUAUGUAUAGGUAGCGUUUCCGUCUUUCUUUUUUGCAUUUCAUCCUUUCUUCCUGGGGUAAUUCACUGACUUGCUUGUUCGAUCCCCGGGUUCAAGUUUCUCCUUAAAUGACUUAUUCCUGUGUGAGAGUGUGAAUCUACAACUUGUAAGUCGUUUUCAGUCUUGUUUACAGUGUUUUCAUCCUUUUCUUAUAGGUAGUAACUACAUUCUUAGAAGCAGUAGCGCUAGCCUCUCUCUUCUAUCAAUGCCUCAGAGUUAUGCCUGGGAGGAGUUUUCGAUUGAAUCGGUAACUAACCCAACCACUGCCCUGAAGUUAAUGGCGAGAGUAAGUAGGGAAGCCGACAACUACUUAUGAGCAAGUCAAGUCCUGUUUUCGUUCCUUUCUCCGCUUGUUAUAACAAUUCCUUUGUUCGUCGCCUAGCAAACUCUCUUUUGUGGGGUCUCUAGCUUUUCUAGUGGGGCCUUAUUGACCUAAGAGUGCCCUUGGACUGAUUUGCCAUUAGUAAGGAAGGGAAGAUCUUUACGUAUAAUAUUAAGAGGAUGCUAUCAUCAUGAAUCGCAACAACUUAAUAGACACAAAGUAAUAUAGAGAAUCCAACUUGACUUCCCCACCGUCGACACCAUAAGCUCUGCAUCACUGUGCUACCGCGUAUGAGAUAGUUAUACAUCUCCUGGCAAAACCAUCAACCAAAAGUGGAAUUAUCACCCUAAUAAUGGUUAAGGAGUAUGGGCAAAAGAACCCUAAUAAUGGUUAGGAGUAUGGGCAAAAGUAGGGAGCCGACCUGGGGAUGAGAAGGCGAGCGCUGUGGAGCAGUGAUAAGAGCGGGCCCGGAAGCAAUAACAGAUUUGGUGAGUUGAUCGCAACCCUCGCAGUCGAGCCUCAGGCAGGAGAUGCGAACCUAAAGAACUCUGAUAGGAUAAGGAAGGAGAUGCGAACCUAAAGAACCUACCCAGAAAAGAUCACAUGCCUUUAGAACACCUACCCACUUAUAAACACUAUUCCUUUCAUUUAUUGCUGCUAAUACACUAUUAAACACUAUUCCUUUCUUAUAAACACUAUUGUCAAAUACUAUCUUGCUUUGCUUGUAUUCCAAUUGCAGCCCAUAGACACAGGCACAUUCACUGAGGAAGAAGAGAAAGAGAAAGGAAGGAGAGAUAAGAGAAGGUGAUGCUGGGAGAGUGAGGCAGAGAGAGAUAAGAGAAGUGAUGCUGGGAGAGUGAGGCAGAGAGAGAGCCCAAAAGAGAGAGAGAGAUGGGUAGGAGGAAGAUAGAGAUAAAGAAGAUAUAGAACCCAACAAACAGGCAAGUAACAUACUAACAGAGGAGGACAGAGGAAUCAUGAAGAAGGCCAAGGAGCGGCGAGUUUGGCUUGUUUAAUCCUGAACGGAACCUCGCUUGAACGCCACGCCAGUAUUGGAUUAUGAUUCUUCAGAGUUAAUCAAUCACUGUUCGUUGUUUUGUUGACAGUAUUGACAGGGCCGCCAAGUCGACAAGCAGACAAGUUUACUUAGCCCUGUGGGAAUUGCCAGUUACAGAAGAAAGUUCAGGUUAGGCCCAGACUCAGUGUCCUUAUCCGUGUGAUAUCUUGUCAUUAUUUAUCUUAUUAUAUGGUUAGUGUUAGAGAUUCAAAAGUCAGUAAAGUAUCUCUCCCUACCAGAGUGACUGAGCAAGCGGGUAUCUCGGUCGAAAGGAAGCUGUUAGAAUAGUGCCUGUAGCAAGUGGGUUUUCUCCUUCUCCGGUGCUCUUCUCUGGUCUUCCACUAAUAAGAAUAAGGGACCGGUGUGCUGCUGGUUUGUUUCAUUCACUGACUCGGGUAGGCGGGUGGACUUGUAUGGUAGGGUGUAAACAGGACUUGGUAAAAACGAGUUAUAAUGCAUCUAUGUUGUUGCUGCCGCUACACAUUAGUAGUUACUUGGCCCGUCUUUUUUGAUAGCAUUGGAUAAAUGGGAUAGUACUUUUGUUCGGAUGUAAGUCAACAUCUGUUUCUUCCGAGCCAACAAGUCACUUAACUACUUAGCUUAGCACUGAAUAACUUAACUACUUAGCUUAGCACUGAAGACAGAAACCCAACAUCUAGGUAAACUGAUUGUCCCGCAACAUCUGAUUCAUUUACUGCUUAACCUGAUUUGGAGUUUGAGGCUUUCACACCGGAUUCUGCCUUUCUAACUAUACUUGCAUUGCUUAUAACAAGCACCCGAUACUCCAGGCAUCUAGAAAGCUGCCCUCGCUUCAAAGGCAAAAAACAGGACUCGUUCAACAACUUCUCUAUUGACUACUUUACUCUUUGUCUAGCUAUUAGGGGUGCCGCGUAAGGGUCCCUAAAGUAAGCUUCAAGUUAUUCCUCACAGGAUCAUAAGUGUUAUCAAGAGUCAAGUUACUUUAUAGGAAGAGUUCCUGAAGUGCUUGUUGGCGACUCUCUAUCAGGUGUUUAUUUCAUCCUAUAUAAUAAGGAUCAAUACUUCAUUUAGUAUAGAAAGCCCUUCAUGCAGAGGCAGUUCACUUGUUGGUGACUCUAAAUCAGUUGUUUCAGCCUAUUCCCGAGUUAACCUGUGUUUGGGAGUUGGAUAAGAUUCCAGAGCUGUUUCCGUUCUCAAGUAAGCAGUUAGCGAGUCGGGUCAGUUAUUAAAGUUCACCGCCGCUACUACUAGACAAGCAGACAGGCAGACCAAGCAACUACUUAUGAGCAAGUCCACCGGUUUCCAGUCCUGUUUUGGGGAGCAGUUUCAUCAGCAAGUACUGGUUUUGAAGCAGAAGCAUUAUUCUAAGAAUCAGCGGGAACAAGAUCAUAUGCGGGGAACUCGAUUCGAUAUGAAGCCUCAGCCGAAUCAAAAGAGAGAUAUUAAGCUGGGUAUUUACGAAUCUCUAUCCAUGGUUAGGUGCUCGAUAAUCAAUGACUUUUUUCCUUGGCGCUAACGGAGUUCCAUUCUUCGCUUUACCGUUACGGGGUUCAGAAGUAUAGUUCCAGCAGUUCUUUACCCUUAACCAGAAGUAGACUGUUCUUUACCCUUAACCAGAAGUAUAUAGUUCCAGUUUGUUCUUUAGCCUUAGCCACAUACUUAGCCACAUAAGUAGAGUAGAACAUAGGUUAGUAGAUAUACGACUCUCAAUCCGGGUUUUUACGACUAGCUUUCCCGAUGAUGGCGCUUCCGCUUCAUAAGAAUAGACAAGAAGGCUUUCCCGAGCUCCACUAUAUGUUGCUGUCGAACUAAUUAAGACACAUCUCUGGUUGGUCACUCCAUUUCUUAUGGAGCUGUAGCAAGCGGGUUCUAGUAUGGUUCGCUUGAGUCAGUUCGGCUCGAAAGAUUCCAUUCCUAUCUUAGCACUAGAUUCCAUUGGGUAGCUUCACACAAGCCCAAGACAAGAGCGUUGCUUGAGAAGUAAUAAGUUGACGGUAGCGUUUGAGUUAGAAGCGUUAGGGCGGUAGAAAGAAAGAAUCAGAGUUGUAUAGAUUAGCAACCGUUUUCAGUGCACAGUCUUAUUGAGUUGAGUAAAAACACUGCCCUUCCCUUACCUGUAAACCUGGGAAUUGGACUAGAGAGCUCCUAGUUGUGAGUGUGAGUUUAAGACCGGUCCCUUAGUUACUGGUAUUGAGUGGAAUUCAUAGUUGCUAGCUCAGCUCCCCAAAAAGGACUUGCUCUUCAUUCGAAUAGUAUACGCUUGUUUAGUAGUUGCUAAGUAGUUACUUGCCUCUUUGACUUAUAGUUGACUUAGUGUUAUUUACUUAUACUGAUAAUAUGAUCCACGGCCCAUAACAAUAGAAUCAAACAAACUUGGAAAGUAAAGGUACAGGGCUAAGUAGGGACUGGACAGAUUCUCCUCAUUUGUCUUGGACGCUAGCGAGGCAGCUAUUACAGAGGAAGAGAGUGGGUACCGAGGAGACGAGACAAGGACAACUAUGUCUUAGACCAUAGCGUAUAUAGCUCUUGGGCGCUCUCUCUUCGACGCACUCUUGCCUUAAGAAGUAAGGGCUAGCUAUGUUUUCAAGCACGGAUUCUUUCAAGAACCACGCAAAAAACUAUGACCAUUCAAGCACUACUUGCUGCUACCUAUCCCGACGACUACUAAACCCUAGUAAAGCCAUAAUACUGCUAUACCUGCUAUGAACCUGCUAUGAAAACGAGACACCUGCUCUACGGACCUGUGGCUCUACCAUUAGUAUAGAAGAAAUGAGUCACAAGGCAAAUGAUAAGUACUUGAGAAGGUGUUGGUUGCUAAGAGACAAUACAAAGGCAUACAGCAUCUAGUAACCUGCUAUGCAAUGCCAGUUAUCAAAGUGGAUGUAUAGGCCGCCUAUCCCAUACCCAAUCAAAGAUAGCACUAUAGUUGGCCUGUUAGUUGGCGGUGAAGCAAGCAAAAACGUCUCAUUUCGUUCAUUGCGAGGUUAAGAAAGGGAGCCCAUGAAUCCGCUACUCUAUGAAUUGGAUAUUUAAGGUAAUGCCAAGGUUUAUUCACCAAAAAGAAAGAAAAGGGAAAGCCAAAAUUCAUUGCCUAUGUCCACGGGUCAAUCACUUUUGUUUGAUCGAUUCCGUUCGACGUUUUCGGAAGGUGGCAAAGAGCGUUCCAGAUGUUUUUGUUCGAGGUGUGGUGAAUGGUCGACUGUUUAGUUCCCUAUUCAGGGAGUGGUUCGGGGAAUAGCGAAUAGCCAUCACUUCAAUUGGAGAGCCAUAUAUAAGCUCCGCUCUUUUAGAAUACCCAAACUAGAAUAGCGGGUAAGUAUAAAGUGAGCGAGAAAUAAGCAUAGUAUUAGCAUUUGCAACAGGGAGGUUCUGAAGCGCUAAGUAAAGCAAGAAGGAAGGGGAUUCUCUGGAAACGGAGUAUUAUCCAACUGCUCGAACUUGACUUGCACCUGAAACUCGAACUGCUUAUUAUGUUGGGCCUGUUUCAUCACCUGCUUUAGCUGAAGAUAAGGAUUCCGCUGGAACUACACUUUCCUUACCGCAACUAGCAACUUCACUGUCAACGCUUGACUUUAACCUGCUUGCUAGAGCCGGAACAAUCCGUUUAAGUUUGUUAAUAAGUUCCUACAGUGUGUGUUCAAUCAAGUAUUAAUUAGUUCACGUCAAAAGCAAGAGAACGAACAUAGUUUAGAAGGAAUGAAGCGGGAAAGAAUCGAGUGACUUAGCUUAGGAUUGUCACACUUAAGACCACCCCUUUGGAAUAGAUAGAUCAAAGAAAAUAGAAAAUAUUAGUGCUGUAGAUGUAGUGUAAGGUGCAUUAGAUUCAUAAUAAGCAAGCCGUUGCGCUUACCCUUAUUCUCGAGGUGCUAAAGCGAGUUCUGCAAACUGUGAGUAAGCUGUCUGGUUCCUCUCCUCUAUCAGUGGCGCGAUCCAUAUUCUUUUGAACAAGUCGUUGCACGCGGUGGCAAGUUCAAUUAAGAGUUGUGCUCACUAACGCUCGGGCUCGAGGCAGUUCAAGUAAAACAAACAAACCCUCUUUCUCGUCUCGCUGUAGCUCAAAGGAUAUACUAUGUUUAUUGCUUCUUUGUGUGUUCCCUUGCUUGUUGCAGUGAGGGUACCCUUCUUCUGAUCUCAUUAGGGAGUUCUUUUGCACGUUAGUGAGUUAGCCGACGCCAGAUAAAGUACUGGAGAGUGGUUUUGUUUUCAUCAAUUCUUUUGGGGUGCAUCACAACGUGUUGUUUGCUUGCUUCAUAUCCUUUCUUUGCUUGUUGAGAAAGCCUUUUGUUAGUAUAGUUCUUGUGCGGCUUUGUGUACCUCCCUAUCUUGCUGGUCCCACUGGAGAGUAGGCAAGUCCCUAUAACUAGAACAUUAAUCUAUUCAAAGUAAGGUGCCCUACCUCCUCCUCGCGCCAUGCUCCUUCCUUUAAAAAGGGACCGAGCCUAAGAUAAGAAGCACUCUUUGUUUGCGCCGGAGACUAGAAAGAAAUGGCUUAUCAGUCAGGGGAGAGUGGAAGAUCAGGCCCUAUAAGUCGAUUCCGUAUCAAGAGCUAGUCGAAGGCCUAGUAUCACGAUUCUGCUUUCGUGCUCAGGUCAGGCUCGCUAUCAAAAGGUGCAAAAGGAAGGACACACGUGGAACGAUAGAAAUAGGACUGUCGAUGGGACUAACGAAAGAAAGCGUGCUAGCUUGUCCUACCCUAAGUGGACCCUAACAUCUAGAGGUUGUCUUCGUUCUUUUAGGGCUAAAGAAUAUUCUUUCUCUUCUAGGCCGAUUCAUUUUCUAAUAGCUACUUUCUUGCUGAGAGAGCUGGAGAAAAAGAACUCAGAUAUUCAAAUAAAGAUGCUAGAGGUAAGUAAGAUCUAAAAGAAGGCGUGGUACACUGAUCUUUCAAGGGAGGUUCCCUAAGAAAGGUAUUCAAGGAAUGGUCUAUGCAGUAUCCCUCCGAGUGUAGUGGUCUGACUUAAGUAAAUCUACACCUAUCCCCAGGAAAGCUGGUCCGCUUCCCAAAAAGAAAGAGGAAGAAAGCUCAUCCGAGAAGUCAUUAGCGCACUGGCGUGCCCCGUAUGCUGGUAGAAUUCCUUACACAACACUAUUCCCCGACCCACUGUCGAGCACACUGUUAUCUCUUGUCCAAUGAAUGAAGAAGUAGACAGGAAAUGAAAAACCAUCCAGAAAAAAGCUCUAACUGCCUACCAGAGGAGCUAUUCUUAUAUGAUAUGAUUCAGACAAUACCUCAUUAAUUAGAUCANNNNNNNNNNNNNNNNNNNNNNNNNNNNNNNNNNNNNNNNNNNNNNNNNNNNNNNNNNNNNNNNNNNNNNNNNNNNNNNNNNNNNNNNNNNNNNNNNNNNNNNNNNNNNNNNNNNNNNNNNNNNGGGACGUCCUAAACUUAUGGGGUCUCAUGUGUUUUUCUAUUGGUAGGCCACACAAAAAGGACUUUCUCAUAACAGGAGCCAAAAACAGGAAUUGUAAUGAGAAGAAAGGAAUAGUAGGCUCGGAAGCUUUAGCGAAAGUCCUAGUAUAUAUAGUAUGGAGUUCUUGUUGACAUCGGUUUCGUACUGAUAGGCGGGAGAGGCAAGGCUGCAAAAGUUCCUAAUAGGCCUUAAAGACAGGAGCGGUAUAGUGAAAGGUUAAUGUCAGAAUGAUAGUUUUCAUAGGGGCGGGCUAGUAUAAAGAAAAGACAGGUGAACUUCUGAACUCAGUAAUGUUAGGAGCGGGCCUAGUCGCCUGUCUCAGGUAUAUAUAACUAAAGAAAGAAAUUGCAGAAUGCGAUAAAAGGUCAAGUCAGAUUCAUAGGCUAGAGUUAAAGAAAGAAAGUGAGGAAGGGCCUACUCCCUACCGCCCAUAACACAUAACAUAGUAAUAACAACAAUGAAUGGAAAGAACAAGUCAAAGAAUCGCACUAAGGAGCCCCAGAGCUAACUACCACGCUAACGACUUCAACUAAAACAUAGUGGACUUGGCCCGUAGCUUGUAUUGUAUUAAUUGCUUGGUGGAUCUAAAUCCGUUAUUGAAGAAUCAAAACCCAACAGCAAGGCUAUUUGCCAGUAGCCCUAUUCUUGUUAGUAUCGGUAUAAGAAGUGGGGGAGAAGCAAGGAAGCGAGGCCCUAACUUGAGAGCUCAUAUCAUAUACGCCGCUACAGGUCUAAUACACAGUUUAGUUAAUACAAAGUUUCGUUCUUUGGCUUAUGACUCUACUUCUUAGUCGGUAAAUCCCCUUACUCAUUCUUUUCCUGCGGGGAGCUCAACUCUUAUGCUUGCUGCUAUUAGUCUACUAUUGGUAGCAACAGUCCUGGCCAAGCUACUACAAACAGUCAAGUCAGAACAAAACUGGAAUAAUUAACGGCCAAGCUACUAUGACAAAUAUGUUUGAAUUAGUUGUGACCAAGUCCUGUCUUCGAGGCUAAAGGGCAGCUAGGUCCAAGCAACUACAACAGUGUAGCGGCGAGUUAUUCGUUGCUUGGCUUUUGAUUCUCUUCUUUGUAUGAGUUGUUCUCUUAUGGUGAUUGCUGCUAUUCUAGAUGCGCUAGGGCGUACCCAUAUUCUAAUAAUACUCAAAGGAAUACAGAAUGUACUAUAUCAUAUCCGGAGUAACGAGAAAUAGUCAAAUAAGCCUGAGACGAGCAGUGUGUUCAAGAAAGAAAACACACAAGUAGAGUUGUGUUCAAGAAAGAAAACGCACAAGUAGUUUAUUGGUUGUCGAACUUAACUGUAGGAAAGAACUCAAAUACUAAUUAUAAGGCAGCUCUUUAUUCCUGUUGUCUUCGCGUGCUGUCUUCGGUGGUAGUGUAGUUCUCUCUCCAGUAGCCAACUUACUUCAUUAGUAAACAAGACAAGACGGACUUCUCAAUCCGGUAGCCAAGCCCUUUGAACACCCAUUCUACUCUAUUGGUUCCACGUUUUCAUGCUAUUAUUAUUUCAUGGAGCAAGCGCUGUCUUAGCUUCCUAUCCGAUGUAUUAGAGUAGGCCCGCUCUUCUGCUUUUUGGAUUCUAAAUAAAAGAGUGAACCUCCCUUUCCUUGAUACAAGCAAUCAAUAUAGUAGGGUGGGUGGACUGAGUCUCAGAAUGAUAGGGGACUUCUGGGUAUAUGAAUGAUAAAUGAUAGUUGACUUCCAGGUCUAUGAAAAUGAUAGACUUGCGGGAAACAUCCACAGACUAAUUGAGUGCUAUUUAAGACUUUACUAUGCUACUCGAGAACUACGUGAUGUUGCUGUAGGCUAUGCGGCUCGACUUUCAUAAUGAUUCCCUUUACUAGGAGAGGUGUGAUGAUACACUCUAGGGAAGCAGACACGGACUUCUUGAUAUCACUUUAUGGCUUAAUGAAUGACCUAAAAGAACGAGUGUGUGGACGACCGACCGUGUUUGGGCGCGAAGACGGAGUGUCUGGACCAUAGCACGGAAUGAUUGCUCCACACAGGAGAUAAGACUGAUUGGUCCGAUGGUCUCUCACAGAAUAGAAUAGGCGAAGUGACUUGAACCCCCUUGCCGCGGGUACGCUCGUCAACGUCAUUGAUAGAAUCAUUGGUGAAAAAGUAUGUUUCGGGGAACCUCUUCCGGGCAUAAAGAAAGGGCCGGGCACUCUGGUUUCAAGAGAUUCACUCGGUCUUCAAUAAAGCACGGUAGGCGAACUCAUUCUUGUCGUAAAAGCAUUAAGUCUUCGAUUAACAUCUAAUAAGUCACCCUUUCACAUGCAUCUACAGAGUCGGGCAAGAAGGUAGUGAACUCAGCCUCCAAGCAACGUAGCUCAUUCCUUAACAUAACAUCAAUUCUGGAAAUACCAUAAAAAGAUGAAUCCGACCAUAUAGUUGUUAAUCUAAAUCCCCUUGAGCUGCUAUUGCUAUCCGAGCUCGAAAGAGGGAGUGGAGAUAGAUUCUUCUGUCUAAUAUGCUCGUUUGGGAACCUUCAGUAUAAGUCCUCGGCUUCUUUAACAAUUGCGAAAAAGUUCCUUUCAAUCAAUGAGAUACCUAGGGUUAGGAGUAAGGCAUGCCCUUACAGCCAAUGCCAAGACCGACCGGAUACGAAGCUAAAUAAAGAACUUAUUGUAUCUUACACGGUUUGUGCGUCAAUACAAGUAAUGAGCCCGAUGGAUGGGAUAGAGAAGACGUUGCUUUAAGUAGUUACCUAUAGAGAAUUUCCUUCUCUUCCCGGCCCCCUAAACAACUGAAGCCAACCGACCGUAGCCUCCGAUCUGACAGCGGCGACCUAGGCAAAGCCAGAGUUGCUCAUAGUCUUCGACGAUCUUCAUUACAAGCCCUCGUGGUAUACUGAUUAUCCAACUCCUACAAGAUCCGAGGGGAAAACUGGAUACCUGGAGAGAAGAACCAAUCUGGCCGGUAUAGAUGGUAUGAACAUUCUUCGCAAAAGCUGCAAUCUAUUAAGAUAUUCGUGCUUUUGUCCAGAUACGUUAAGAUAUUCGUGCUUUUGUCCAGCCUCGUGGAAGUUAGAAAACCCCUAUUCCAACUAAGACUCGAUCAUCAUUUGGGGUUGCCUUCCAAGUAGGUUCCCACAUAAUCCCUUAGUUAAGGGGAAUGGUGGAGAUCCAAGGAAUAUCUUUACGGUUAAUCUCCUUGAAAGUGCAUUUUGAAUUAAGGAGAACACCAUCUAUAUCCUGGACUUGCGAGGUUAUCAAUUGGAAAGUUGCCAUUGACACCCAGCGCAAUAACCCUUGACAAUCCAAACCAAGACAUGUAAAGUUUGACGAGGUAAUCCGCUCAGGUGCACAGAAAGUCUUAUGGUCUAGUCUACUUUUACUCCAAUUGGCUGGUAACCAAUGGAGCCAUCAUUAAGUCGGUUCCUCUCUCACCUCCAUAUAUCCAACCUGGGAAAGAAACCCCAAUUUCCUAAUUAUAGAAAAUCACAAAAUAAGUAGAAAAGUGGACGAAAACAGGAGUGGUUAGUUUCAAGAGUCAUAGGAAGUAAGCUUUGCUAUCAGCCAAGGAACAUAGUUAGUUGCGCUAAGGAGCCCCGGACCAGAGAAGGAUAUUAAUCAUCAACAGGAACCAGAGGCAGAGGCUAAGAAGACAAAAACAGCCAAGCUCCACUACUUUAGAGGCAAAUUCCUACUAUCAAGAAGGAGCUAACAAGCAGACCCUCUCACGCCUUAACCUGACUUAUGAAAUACAAUACAGGAGUCCGGAGUGAAACGAGUUAGGAGUUUUCUUGAAAUACCUGAGUGAUAUAUGAGUUAGGAGUCCAGAGCAAUAACUUUUGGAGGAAGCAGUUAAGUCUGCAGGUGCUGAAAGCCUACUGUCAGAUAGCGAGGUGACUACUACUGCUACCACUGCCGGGGGUGUCACUGUUCCUAGGCAAUAGAAUUCUCAUUUGAUAGUUGCGGUCGGGGAAGCAAGAGAAGACGGAAUGUAUCUCGGGCUAAAGUCAGCUCCCGGUGCUACUACUACCAGGGCAGCUAGUCAAUUGAAGGAAUGAAACAACUAUGGAAGGUAUAAAACUACAGGAGCAAGAAAGUAUCUCGGAACAGGCGCAAGAGUUGGGUUAGCUAGAAGUGAUUCUGAACUGAGAGUCGAGUUUGGGGUAUAGUAUACGCUUGGCAGUUGCCUAGGAGCCGAACCUAAGACGAUGAUAACUAACUGAUACCAAGGCUCUCGCUCCUUUCUCUUAUUCUUACUUAUUACUAUACUAUUGACUAUACUAUCCUUUCACUUUUCCACUCAUGCCCUCGACUCUUAUGUUUCGAUUGUGAGUUUUCUAAUUGCCUCGUUUGAAGCGAAGAAGCAAAAGAUAGAAAUGAACCCGAGGAACGUUAUACUGCUCUAUAUGCGAGUUGUUCUAGUGGGUAUAUAGGCGAGUGCUCUGGGGCGAGUCAUUAGGCCUAGUCCCUAUGGUAAGGCAAGUAAUAUUUCUCUAAAGGAGUGGUCGAGUGACACCACAUAGGGUUUUAAUGGGCAAAUGCGGAAUUGCGGGUAGGAGUUUCCGUUUGCUAAUUAUGAGUGUCCGUUUGUGAGUAAGGAGUUUUUUGGUGGUUCUAGAUCAGGAGCUGAGGAAAGCAAGAACGAAUAGUCCAAUAAAAAAGAAGGGCAAGGUACCUAGGGGAGUAGUAUAAGAAUUCUGAUAGUACUAAUUGUUACUUGUCUCAACCUUCAUCUAAUCCUUGCUUCCCGCACCCAGACUUAUACUUAUUACUUGAUUUAUGUACCUCAACCAGAAGUCUGCUAAUACUAACUCGUAUACGGAAGUUACUGACUCACAUCUGGCUGCACCCAUUUGUUUGAGUCCGAAACUCCUCUAUAUCACCUAAUCUUUAAUGCCGAUAUUACUGCUAAAGUAUGUAACUAAGUAGUUGAACCCUUGCUCCACAAUUAGAGGAUUACUUACAUAGAUCUAGGGCUUUGACUCCGGUCUUUUAGCCACCAAGCCACUACAACAAAGGUGGGCAAGCAACCACUAGGCCAGGCGCUAGGGUCACUAUUUCUCUCGAACCUUACUUACAGCUAUAGAGGUCUUUAACACUCUGGGCACCGCACUAGUCCUUACUUGCGAGUUUGUCUCUUCCGCUGCUCACUCGUAUUCAACCUCAGCCUUACCCUCAUUGCUUUAAGUCUCUCACUGCUUACUUUGGUUCCUAUGCUACUGUUUUAUGUCCUUGGGUUGGUUAGCGAGAGCACUAGGGUUGUAAGGAAAGAGUCAAUUCUUCUCUAUAAUGUCAGUAGUGCGAUUUCUUCUAUUCCCUGGGUUGGUUCUUAGAGUCACUAGUUUUGUUCCGCGUUGUAGUUUGUUAGGCACUAGUUUCACCCUUGCUUGUAUGAGGGACUCCCUUAUUCGAGUUAAAGUACUGUAAGCAGUGCAGUAGUAUUGUAUUGGCUUUGAGGCCGGGGUAUGUGGGCAGUGUUAUGGAACCAAAGCAAGGAAGGGCAUAAUGAAACCAAGCAAAGGUAGCUUUAAGGGCAAGUGAGUCAGGAUUUCACUCGAACUCAAGAAUUCCAAAAGUCAGUGUAAUAGUCAGUGUCAGGUGUUAGAGUUAUGGUUCUAUGGUUGCAAAUAAGGAUCCAAUUCAAUAAUACAACAAUAGAAGACAGGAGAAAUAGACUAAGUUCAAACGUAUAAGAAUCAAGUAGAAAAUAACAAGGAUCAAACUCGGAACUGGGAGAGCCUAGCAAGCACGCUUAGAUAACAUAACUGAAUCGAACUAGUAAUAACAGGAAUGGAGCCGGCAAGGGCUCCAGAAAGCAUCUAUUGUAAUGACUGCGAAGGAAUUAUAGGAAGCGGCCCUGCCGCGCAACUAACGUAGUCUAAUGACUCCUGCCGCGGCACAUUAGCAGUGCCUUGGCGGCUGUUGCUACCGCUUUUAGCUCGCUGCCGCGUAACAUUAGUAGUUACUUGUCCAGUUGCUUGGCCCUCUGAUCUCUACUUUCUUUGGGGAGUUAAUGACUAGGGAGUUCAAGAGUUCAGAAAUAGGAUUGAAGUGGAGGAGCCAGUUUUUGCUAGUAGAUGAGCCUGAGUGAUAGGAUAAGAAUUAAGGUAUUGUUGCCCUAGGUAAUAGGCCCUUAUUGUAAGUUGUGAACUCACUGGUCAGAACCAAACAAGGGAGUGCAAGCCUGGAGUCCAAGCCUGAUGCGGUCUCUAACUACUGUCGCUAAGGCUUCAACCAUUACGGUGAGCUACUGGUAUUGGUACUACUGGUGCUGAUGCUGGGUAUGCAGGGGCACUACUUAAGACUUCAACAAGCGAGUUACAGACUGAGACAACAGCUAAUCAGACUACAACCAGUAAGAGCAAGACUUAAAGCACCGAGUCGAAGGUGAGCUAGUAGUAAAGUUGGAAUUGCACUCAGUAGUGCUAGUCUAGUUCACGGGCUCCUUAGCUAGUGUUCGUCGAGUAAAGAAGUAAAUGAAUCCAAUUGAACCACCGACCAUAAGUACUGGAGUUCAGAAUUGCUAUCAUCCAAGUCACGUAUAACCAAGCCGAGCAGAGCCAGAGGUAUAAGAGAAGAGAAGAGCGCACACUAGCGGCAGGAGCUCUCAGCUUUGCUACCUUUUUGACCGUGUUUUGGUGAUUUGGUGAAAUGAACUGACUUAACUACUUUCCUUUCCACUCUGUAGUGGCUCGGCCCUGUUUCUUUGAGUCUUAUACUUACUGACUUAGUUUACUGACUUGUUAGGCGCGGCUGGUUUACUUACUUAGUUGACAGAGCCAGAGUAGGGGUGGGCAAGGUCAGAAUCACACCACUAUCAACUAUAUAGCUACUUAAGACUUAAACCCGUGAUGAGCUACUUAAGACUUCAACCCGAGCUACUGAGACUAUAACCACUGCUUCUAAGGCUACUACUGGUGCUACUCGGGAGUCACAGAACCAAGCAAGUGCUAGCUAGACUUCAACUCACUCCAAUCAGACACCAACCACUGCCCCUCAGAAUGUAGCUAGGUAGUAUGGGUAUGGGACUGGAAGCUAUGUAUACUCAGGCGGAUGCUAUGUAGUAUGGGACGGGUAGGCUUAGGCUCGGAAUUCUAUUACUAGGUAGGUUCGGGUGCUUUACCAGAGGAGAGAGAUUGGCUGUUGCCAUAGAUAUAGGAUAUCUUAGUUUAGGUAAGUCCAGUAGUAGAGUAGUUUCAUCAGUUAUCCUUUCUAAAGAGAAGAAGCCAAAUCAAAAGAAUCCAUUCCUUAUUUUAUCGGCGCUUAUGCUUACGGAGAGUUUUCGUCUCCAGACCUCGUUAGCACAAUCAAUGUCUUCUUGAACUCCUUACGCUAUUGCUUGCUCGAAAGCGCUUGCUGAUUCCCUUGAUUGUUUCAAAGAAGGGUCGGUCGGGUUGACAGCUUCCUUCAUCUUUAUUUAAUGGCACAUUACAUUAGUUGUAUUAGUCACAGGGGUUCCUCAGCGCCCAGCCAGAGCUGCCCUACCGCCAUGACUGAAUUAGGACAAAGAAAGACUAAAGUAAAAAAAAACUCCUUCCUCUCUUGUUCCCACUCCACCUCUUUCUAAAGCAUAUUCCACGGAGCCCGUAUCUUUUAUUGUUCCUACUCCGGAUGUAGAUAAAGCUUCUUUUACUGAUCUUGUAUAUAAUCCUUAUGAAGAGUCAUAUUACUAAUAAGUUGUUCUAUACUAGCCCAACACCGAUAUACUUUACGGAUCCCGUAUCUGCUCUUGUUUACCUCUAUUCUGGAACUCCAUUCGUAUACAAACACAUAGCAAGUAGGCAAGCAGACAACUAAUGGAAUUCUUUGACUACGCACACAGGCCUUGGGAUGAGCAAGAGGGAUAGUUUACAGAGUAUGAUUAGAUGAGAGCAAGAGGAUCGUUUUUGUUUACAGCCCAGCCCGCUCCGGGUAGUCCAGGGCAGAAAUAAAGCACAGAGGCAGAGGAGUUCACGGGGUAUCUAAAGUCUCCUGUGAGUCAAGUCCAGUUUGAUAGUAUUGGCGUUUAAGCUCCAUUCUAUGAUAAGAAGGGCAUAUAGAUCUAGCGUAUUAGAUACUAGGGGAGCGGGUACUGGACUUCGGAACAAGACUCAUUUUGUUGCUUCCGCACCUGUACUUUUUUAUGUAUCUGAUCUAGAGUGAGUAAAGCAAUCAAUAGUUAGUAAAGAUGAAAUCAUAUCCCCUAGGCUGAAACAAGUAAGUAUAAGGCAAUUAGGUCAUAAUUGAAUCAAACUAGUACUACGAGGGGUUAUCCGGGUAUGAUAUGGAUCUAGGUCACACUGGGCUUUCGACCUUUUCUUUUCUUGCCCUAGUUUGGGGACUAUCCCUAUGGGUAGCGAGGGUUGGAGAAGGCCAUAAUACAUAAUUGCCAGCUGUAAGCAGUUUUGAAGCAAAGGGGGAGUCAGGGGCAAACAAAGGGUGAGUUAGGUCUACUCGAUCAGUCGAUAAGCAACUACUGAGAAAACCUGUACAACUGUAGGUUAAGGAGACAAAGACUGAUUCAACAUUUCUUGAUUUCAACGGGCUCCUUAGCGCAACUAACGACUAAGCUCUUCCCACGCCAACUCAUUCCCUUAAGGCUUAGAAGCCAGUACUUACUUAUUCUUGUUUGCAAUCGAAAAAGUCAGAAGAGUAGAACUCAAACUCAAGAAGCAUUUUGCGGUCUUCAUAGGAAGAAAUGGGGUAUAGUCUAGUCUAAUGGAUUAGGGUAACCAACCGGCGUGCUCUCCUUUCUCUAAGAAAACUGGACGAAACUACAUAAGAAACCGGAAAAACUUCCCCAGCGAGUAAGAAUGGAACUGCCAUAUAAUAAAUAUAAGAAUUAGGAAGGUCUGAUAUAUCUUAGUAACUCACCAACCGGCGUGCCCCUGCAUUUCAUAAUAUAAUUAACUACGCCCCGCAACUCCACAUUAAGUAGAAUAAUAAGUCAUAAGUAAAUACAGAAUUCCACUCUAAAUAGAGAUUCGUUCGCGUGUGGUCAUACUAAUACAAAGAAUGGAGUUUUGCAAAAGGAAUGCCAUAAUUUCGUUUACUCUCCUCUGUGCACUAUAAGAAAUUCAGUAUGUAGCUUUUCCUGUUUUCCUUGACUCUGUGCUAAGAUCUUCUCUUUCAUAGCAAGCAAGUUCCAUCCAGUUUAUAUGGCACAUCAUUAAUAGUAGAAAAUGGAAAUGAAACAAGGCGAGAAGUGGUUGAUCGGGAUCAGUUUAAAAGUAAGUGCUUUAUCUUUCGGGAUCAGUUUCAAAGUAAGUGCUUUAUCUUUAUUUAUAUACUCUGCACAAUAAAUAGGAAAUUAUAGAAUUUGGUACUCUCCUCUCGAAUCUCAUGCCCCCGUCCCGUGACUCCCGAAAACUUGACUUGUUCAGUCUCUUUACAUUACAUAUGUUGCUCUUAUCUAUAUCUAUAUUCAAAUCAAUUCUUUGUCCUUUGGCCAGUGAAGAUUACCUGUUUAGAUACGAGACUGGAUCUACUGAUCUAUAUUAAUAAAUUCCUAUACAAUGCCUUGUAGCAGACUUGGAAACUUCUUCUUAUUUAUCUAUCUGCGUCAACCUGAUCCGUAAGUAAAGUUUCAGUAAAGGGUCUAUGAUGAGGCAAGGGUCCAUAAGGCAAGGGUAUACUAAUGAGAAGAGAAGGGAGACCCCUAUUAAGGAAGUAAAGCACCUAUUGCUGGCUCUGCUCUAAAACAUAUUUCUUAUUGCUGGCUUUGCUCUACCUGCUGACUUCUUCCUUUAGCCUCCAAUUCUCUCGCUUACUUUUUCCAAUCACCUACUCAUAUUGAUACUUAAAGACUCAAUUCAAUGGAUGAGAAACUAAUAUUCACUAAGCGCGGAAGAAAGAAUGGAUUCUUUGACCUGGUUGGGCAAGAUACCGAACUUGAUACCUAAUUGCUAAAGCACUACGUGGAUAUUCGAACAGAUCUUUUCCUCAGAUUCUUUCCUUAUAGGAUUAGGGAACCAACGCCAGUAUUUUCUCUUUAUUCUGUGAUUUCGGCCAUUGCUUGAGAAGCCUUUACCACAAGUAAAGUAAGCCUAUGAGUGGGGAAUGCCAGAUUGGCAAGCUAAUUAAUAAGUAGGAGACUCGGAUUGAAGUAAGUAGUCGCUUGGCUCUUUGCUUUGAGUGGAAGUAGUAAAGUGGAAUCUAAAGUAUACGAGUAUUCCUGGUGCUCUCUUUCUCUCAAGUAGUGAAGUUAGAAUUGCACUGGUAAGUGGAAGCCUUAAAGCACCAAAGCAACCCGUAAGUAGAAGCCUUAAAGCACCGAGUAGUAGUCUGCAGCGGGAGGGAAACAUCUGAAGGUGCUGAAAGCCUCGCAACUAGGAAUGCAACCAGUAACAACAAGCCUGAUAGUCGCUAGUAAGCCCAUCGAUUGACCGAUAGAAGUAGAAGUCACUAGGCCAAUACCACUGAUUCCCUGUGCCAGGGGUACUAGAAAAGAAUGCAACUAAUAGGUGAACUAGAGAGGUGAGCUAGGCAGCUGACUGAAGUAAAGAAUUCCACCCCUUAUUAUAAUUCGUGACAGGCUUUAAGUAAGUCCCUAGUUAUUAAGUCUUCCCUGAUGCUAUAGUAGUAGCCCUGGUUGUAUGAAUUCCAAUGCUUAUCCUUAAGAAGUAAGCCCAGAAGAAGGGGGAGCCUUAUUAUAAUUCGUUAAACUUAUGAGUAAGCUCCUCAUUCUGUUACUCGGCUAGGCAAGUUGGCCCUCUAGCUUUAGUAGCGGGAGCUAGUGUUGUAGUAGUCGCUUUGCCAGGUUAAGGUAUUUCAUUGAACUCCUAAUCGGUCUGAAACUAAGAUAAGAAUAAGAAUGCAGUUAGAGGAGUCUCAUUCAGGUAUCAAACUACAGAACAGGAACAGGAACACAGCACUUGUACUAGACUCACUAUUCCACUCCAGUAUAGGAAAAAGCUUCUCUUUGAUAGCAAGGGGUUUCCGAAAGGAUCUGAUCUCAUGUACUAUAGCUGCGGAGAAUAGAUACCCUGGCUUUCAUUCUUGGAUUGGUCAGCUCCAUUCUCACACUGACUGGUUGAAGCCUAGCUGUCGGUGAGUUAAGCCUUGGACUCCCUUGUUUGGUUCUAUGAUUGGUUAACUUCAUUCCGAGCCUACCCGGUAUCAGUCUUCCACUCCCUUGUUUGAGUCUUGCCAGCAGUGUUUCAAGCCUGAGUUGAGUGGUUCUGCUUGAAGUCUUGGAUGCAGUGGGUGAGGUCUGCCUAUGCCUAGUAUCGGUCUUGCCCUCGGGUGUCUUCAUUCAUCAAGCUACGAUAGAAAAGAAGGACGAAAGGAAGUGAAAGGCGGAGCUGCCAAGGAAAAGAGAAGAGGCUAAAUAGAUAAGUGUGUUUGCCGGAGGAGAGGUCAGCGGGCAGGUCUCUCUUGCUUUAGUUGAUAGGCGGGUAGGGGCAGAGAAUCUCUUUUCAUCUCUCUUGCUUGCCUGAUAGCAUAGUGAGUUGAUUAGUCCGGCCUAAACACUAUUGCCAGAGGUAUAUGCGCAAGAGCUCAGAGGUGGCAAUGAAGUUAUAUUAUCUAAUUAAUAGAGAAUUCUCGUAGGAAUGUUAAUGUUCUCAAGGAAGCAAGCCAUAGAGCAUAACCAGAAGCCUCAGCUGUAGAAGAGGGAUUGGUUCUAUGUCCUCUAACCUAUAUGGUAUGUCCUCGGUUUAUUCUAAUAGUCGUUUCGUUUUCAGUCUGAUCGUUAUUGGUUUCUUUCUUUAUGAUAAGCAAAAGGAUGAGAAGCUUUAGUGCGCUUAUUACUUAAUGGAUUGAUCACUCAUCUAGGAACAAAGCCCUGUUAGCACUAAUUGCAUUUUGAGUAUCUUACUUAUAAUAAGUUUGAUACGGUGCCCUAGCCGUUCGAUCCCCAGUUAUAAGUCAAAGGAUUACUCAUUCAUUUAGUGGUCGGGCAACUGAUCUCGAGUUCAAUGAUCAAUUACUUGCUGCAGCUUUUCACCCCAUUAUGUUAAUCAAAUCUUCUUUAAUCCUAUAUUAAGUAAACAUCAUACUCAAACAAAGGAGUGGUUUAGACUUCAAAAGAGAGUAAAGAACGUAUCGGCGUAGUUAAGGCUUUCUGUCUGGUGGAGCAAGUAGGGCUUGGAGCCAGUAAGACAAGGUUCGAGGUAAGUCAGGGAAAUCCUAUUUAUAAGUGCAAGUAUUGUUGGCACCAGUUACAUGAAGACGAGUAGAUGCACAGGCUAUUAUGUAUUAGGGCCUUCUCUUAUGUCCUUUGGCUCUAUUAUGAUUAGUAGUGAUUUGAUGAUGACUGGUAGUAGUUAUUCCUCUUAUUUGUCUUAAUGGUGGAAAUCCAACAGAAUUAAGGUAAGCCGAGACAGGCAAGGGGUAAUCCUACAGAGAGAGGCCAGAGAGACAGGCAAGACCGAGCUCAGUUGUUGCUUCUUAUGUGUGAGUGUGCGGCAGCUAUGAAUAACGAGAGUCCGCCUCUCCAAGUCACAGAAAAUAACUACCGCAGGAACUCAAUUAAUAUGUUAUUAAUAAUGACAUUCUUAGGGAAGAAAAAGAAUCAUCAAAACUCUAACCAAUAAAGGAAGGGCUCUAACCACCAAUAAAGGAAGGGCUCUAAGCAAUAAAGGAGGGGCUCUGAGCAAUAAAGGAAGGGCCAAGCUCACCUUAGCAUCAGAAGGAGAGUAUACCAGAUCAGAUGUUGUGCUAACGGUUGCAGGACUUAUUCAACACUCUCAAACUAAACUAUCAGAGGGUUGGAAAGAAAGGAUAAGUGGGCAGGCAAGAAAUAGAUAACUAGCUAACACACCCGCUCAGCUCAAGUAAAGUAAAGCGGUAUACCAAGCAAUGGAAUGAAUGAAAAUAAAGAAGCAACGGAUCCAGAAGCAAGGCAAGAACUAAAGUACUUAAUUAUAGGGGAAGAGGCCCCUUUGUUGUUAAUCCGCUCGAAGUAAAAGUAUCAAGUAUCAAACUAGAGGUUAAGGCCCACUGAGAGGGAAGGACAUAAUAUAGAAAUAUAGGAAGGAGUUCAGUUCCACUCGAAUAAAUUAAUGUGGACGAGGUCAUGGUAGUAGAUCUACUUGUCCACUCUAGGUGUAGAAUAAGUCAUUUCUCAAAGCAUGGGUACCAUUACUUAUUAUUACUUUGAAAGCCGAAUUAGCAGGUAAUGAUACUAGCCACUCACUUUCGAUGUCGGAGAUGCAUAAAUAGCUAGCGCACAUUUGUAUUAGACUAUCUAGCUCUAGUAUAAGAUACACUAAGUAAGUAUUAAGUAUAAGACAUAGAAAAAGGGUACCAUUCUUAUUCUAUCUCUGAUCUGGGCUCGGCUCCAAAUAUGACUCCGACGGACUGACAAGCAUAUACCGCCAGAACCUGAACAAAUGAAAACAAAGAAACGGACAAAUUAGCCAGGUAUUAUGGAAAUAAGUAACAAACCUACCUAGGUAGCCUCUCUCCCAUUGCUUUUAGGGGAUCAAACUCUCAACUCCCACAUCCUAGCAGAUCAAUUGCACUGUAAACAACUUCCCCGUUAGCUAUGAGGAAAACACAGAAUGAAACACCCGGAGUGUCCCGCGCUUAUCCCUUCUGGUCUUGAUACGAGGCCUUAUUCAUAUCCUGAUCCUGAUACAACUUAUAUUCCCGACCUGCUAACAGCUGAAGAAAGUACAGUAAGGAGAGGCCAGGCCAGGGCAGUAGAAAAAGAAUCAACUCAAGCAAGGGCCAGGGCCGGGGAAGAAAGAGAAUCACCAGUUCAGGGUCGAGUUAGAGUUAUGAGCCAGCAGCUUGUUGAAAUAAGUAUGAGUUUACAGAGGAGAGCAGAGGCCCUUAUAGUCAGUUUGUUUGACUUUCAUCUGUCUUUGUUUACAGAGGUAGAUGCGCCUAAUGGUUUGGUACUUUCGUAUAUGUUCUUGUUUCGUUUCAUUUCUCUUUGUUAGUUUGAGAGUGAUUCUAAUGUUUCCUUUGUUUAGUUAGUUGACAUCUGGUAUUCCUCAUAGUAAGUUGACAUCUGGUAUUCCUCAAAUACGAUUAGAGAAUCAAAGAAUGAACACAAAUAGCAUCCCUCACUUCAAACUAAAACAAAAGGUGCUGAAAGCCUCAACACGGAGGAAGUUUAGGAUAUAAUAAACUGCGUAGCGGGCGAAGAUAGUUUCCAAAGGCUAUUGCUGCUACCUGAUUGACUCUGAAAUCAAAUCAUAGUUCCGUUACUUCCGGGCAACGCUCUUUUCCGGUGCAGAAUACGGACUUGCUCAUAACCUUAGGACUUGGCAAUUGAUGGCUCCUCCACUUCGAACUCUUUAUUUGUUGCCAGAGGUAUAGCUCUUUCAAGAAGUAUUUUACGCCUACCUUAACUUACCAUAAAGGUUGCCUUAUUGUCUCCCACUGUAGUAUACGCUUGGUGGACUUGGCCCUUACGCUUGAAUUCCAUUUCUCAUUUAUUCUUUCCCAUUCCCUAACAUAGACCUGAGUCUUUGAAGUACUUAGCGUUGAAUGAAGAAGCACGGACUCCACUGGGCGAGAUCAUGAUCUACUAUACACUUGCUUUCCACUUAACCAAGUAGUGGGCUGGGCCAACAAACACCGCUUAAGUUCACCUCUUCUUUCUAUCUCCAAUACAUAGGUAUGGGAUCCGAAUUCUGGUAUAGGAUAAAGGGUGCAAAGAGCCUGAGGUAUAUAUAGGACCCGGAGAAAGUACCAAUUCCCCGGCUGAGAAUCGAGACCUCUGUAAACUCAUAAAGUUAGGGCUCCCCCAUACCUACAUUCUGAUCCUCUGUUUUCUAGCUUUCCUUUCUUAGUUGCUUGGCGCUAUGUGUUUGUGAGUUGGAUUAGUAUUGACUGGCAAGAAUAGAAGAGAGGAGAGCCAUUUGCAUCGAGGCAAGCUACGACUAAUGUUGCCCAGUCCUCCCCUUGAGUAUAGAAUGAGAAUGGAGUCAAAACUACCACUUUGCGAGAAGGUAAGGAGUGGAAAUUCAUAAUUGUUGAAAGAAGCGAACACUAGCGGCCCUGCCCGGGGUUUGGUCAAAAUAUCAUUCCAAUUAGUUUGCCCGGGAAAGUAUACAAGGGAGACAAAGACAUUACUUGUUUCUUUCUAAUCUUUAUCCUAUCAGAAGAAUCAAGUACUUACUUUGAUACCGAAGCCAGAGAAGUAGAAUAUAAAGGAUUGCUACGUUGCUUGUCGCCUUGUCGGUUAGUAGUGACUUGUUGAAUCAACAAAUACUUAACUUCAUCUUUCUUGCGCUAAAGAAGUUGAUCAUGGAGCAGAGACCAGAGCUCAAACAUCACUUUCGCACUCAACUGAGAUUGAUGAACGAGAACUUAUGUCCCCAACCACAUUCCUUCCCGCUGAAGAUCUUUAUUCCCUGGCUUCUGCUUGAGCCUCUGAUUCUAUAUACAAUUAUGAAAGUCAAGCAAGUAAAGCACCAACCUCUUCUCGACUUGAAGACCCGAUUGCAGCUGACCUCUAACUCUUGUUGAACCGAACAAGAUUCUUAAAAGAGCACUCGGUUAGUUACUUCUUCCAUUAGAAACCCCCUAUUGCUAAUGAUUAUGUUUCCUCACGUUACUGUGGAAUUCUUUCCCUAUUCUUAGAAGUCGCUAGAUCGUACCCUAAUAUCUUAUUAGUACCUUCACUUACAAAUACAAUGAAUGCGCUAUGGAGUUUCGAGUUAGGAGUUUCAUUCGAUUUCUGGAAUCUGUUCCUAAGCUUGUUUAGUAGUAGCUUGGUCGCAGCUUCCUUUUUCACGGCUUCAGAUCUAGCAUCUAAUCUAGCUUCAUAUCUUGAAACUCAAAACCACACCCCACUUUCCUUUCGAACCCUCAUACGCUGAAACUAUAAGAGGAGCAUAAUGCACUCGCCCCGCUUUUGCAACUUCCUGUUAGCCUAGUAGUGCGACUCAUGAAUUGGAAUAUGUACCCUAAGCCUAGUAGUAUAUAACACCCAUUCUUUUCUUGAUUGUAAAGAAUAUCUCUAAUUCAUCUUACCUGACCGGAACCUAGCUUUCCCCAGGCUAUAAUAGUAGACUAACUGAUUCCACUAGAACUGCAUUAGCUUCAGAAACACCUCUCUAUCAUAGACCUUAGUAAACUCAAGAAGAUACUCGACUUGGACCACUACUAAAAGGGGCUGUCAACUAGUGACCGCUCUGUAGGCUACGCUAGACCACUACCUUAAGGGGCCAAAAACAGGUGAACUCAGGACUCGGGAAUAACAACUAAUAAAUAUACUAUAUGUAAGUUGAUUAUUGUAGUUGUCCUUGCGUUACUUGUUUCGUUGCUUGUCUAUCCUAAGCUAUAUAGUACCCGAUAACUACUCUACUACAAGUUUCAGGAUAAACCUAGCUCCAUCCUCUUCUUCGUAGUGGGCAUUCUCCUCGGCUUCGGCUUCUUAAUAAGAUCAAACUCGAGAACGGGCCAAGUAAGCAGAUGUUGUGAGGCCAAGCGUAUACUAGACAAUAGGAGCAAUAGGCUAAAUUAGGACUCCCAACCAAACCAAAGAAAGGUUGUUUUCACUCUGGCUCAUCUACCUCAGGCUACAGCCAAGCAACUAAGUAAGAUGUUGUGCGGAGGUGAGCUAGUAAGUAGGCGAGGGAGCUAGUCAGAAAGUGAGAAUUCCACCACUGCCGCUCAGGCUUCAACCAGUGUUCGCCUUUACUCAUAUCUUUCAUUUUUGUACGCCCUUGUAGCAUUCUUAUAAGCAUUAGGUCAUUUCUUUAUACAGUAGUGAAAUCUGAUAGUUAAUAGUGGAUAAAGGCGGAGUUCCGAGUUCAAGUCUUAGUUUUCAGAGUUUCCAUUCUCGGUCUGAUAGCUCUAAUUGGCUUUUAGUCUAGUCCGAGAAAACCCCCUUUCUUGAAUUAAGUAUUGCCAUUAUGAGUCUUAUAGCUCUAUUUGGUUUGAAAGCGAAGUCCUUCUAUCAUGAGUUUUCUUCUAUUGGGGCCAUUGAAAGUCUUAGCCUGUUGGUGUUAGCAUCCUUAGCCUGGUAUACUUACUUAGCCAGGUAUCCUGUAUUCUUGUGUUUCAUUAUUAUACCUUAUAUUGGUCUUCCACUUCUGUGUUUCAUUCCGAUCGUAGUCAUUUUAUUACCCAUUGGGGUUUUCAUUCCUUUGAUUAGAGUCAAGUCUUAUAAGUCGUAGUUUAAUGUCCUAGUGGAAUCCCAUAGGUCAUUCUUACCAAUGCUACCAUUAGGUCUAGAGGGUUCCAAAAAGAGAAGCCUAAAACACGGGAGCGGCAUACUCCAAUGAAAAAGUAAGGCUUGCCAUCAGUGGGGCAGUUUGAAAGCAAAGAGAGGCAGUUUGAACUACUGCACUAGUAAGCUCAGUUAGAGCAUAGGAAUUAAGGGCAGAGUUCCAGAGUGAUAGAUGGGAUAUUCAAACAAAAAGGAAGGAGAGGAAAACUAGAACUAUAACAACUAUACUAGAGAAAAAAGCAAGGAAGGCUGGCUAACUAGGAGAAGAAAAGCAAAGGAAUCAGGAUCUGUGGUUAAAGAAUAGAGCUAAGGAAAGGAAGGGCAGGUUAAAGUGUGGUUCAGCGCUAUAGUUGCGAGUUGGGCUCUUGUCGGUAGUAGCUUCAUUCCAGUUAGCCGGGGUAUUGUUUCAUCCCUGUUAGCUGCGAUUUCAGUCGUUAGGGGAAGUGUUCCAGUGUCCUUCUUUAUACUGAUAUACUUUUACUGAUACUAAUAAGUACUGGUGAAGUUAGAAUAUAGCGACUCCAUAGUCCAUCUAGGAUAUGUGCUAGUCACGCAAUAAAAAGAGGUACGCCAAGAAGAAAGGUUGCCAGAGGUAAAGUAGCAAGAUCCGAGGCAAGAUCAGAGGUAUAGUUUACUUAGGUAAGAGGUGGAUGAGCAAUAGAGGAGCUCAGACAUGCUUUCCGCGGAUAGUACUAUCCAUAGAAGUUCUAUUCUGCCUUGAGCCUACAAGCACUGGGUUGGGGAAAGGAAGUAGCACAUAAAACUUUACUGGGUUGAUUGGUUAGCAAGAGGAGAGGUGGACAAGGUAGGUCAGAAAGGUAGAGUUCAGAGUCACUUGGCGCCUACUUGCAAUGUGUUUUCAGAAUGAAGUUAGAUGAGCCUAAUUCUGUUAAUGCCAGCUGCUAGUUGAAAUAAGUAUGAGUUGCUCAAGUCAAGUCCUGUGCCACUUAACUAUUUGCCACUCUUGAAGCCGAAGCUGUAGCAGUAUCAAGAGCCAGUCCAGUCAUAUGUUUCUUAAUGUUGAAGUUCCAGUUCGAAAGUUCGGGUUAAGGUAAGAAUCUAGUCCAGCUCACCAGAUCAGGGACAUAAUAUCAUCUUAAGGUUCGUUUUGAAGCAGAAACAAGAUCUGGGUUAUAACAACGAUAAGAAGCAAUUACGGGUUUGAGUAUUGUUCCAGUCAUAAAGUAGAGUUCUGUUGGAGUUUCAAGAGCUAGGAUCGGGAUCAGAAGCGUUAAUUAGUAUAAGUUGCCGAAGAAAGAUCUUCAGCAGGAGACACAUCUGCAGCAGUUAGGUAUCCUGGAAUAGUAUCAAGGUAAGAAGCCUCAGCCGAAUGCCAAGAAGGAUAAGAAGCUGCGAGAAAGGAAGGGUGUUUGCCUCUCGAGUCGCCAACAAAGCAUUGGGUGUCAUUCUCAAGUCGAACAGAACCAAGAACCACUUGCCCUCUGAUUUGAUUGAUUUCGUAGUAGGAGUGAAAGGCUUACGGGCUGUUUUGUAUACUAGCUACGUUGCUUGUCCCGAUUUAUGCUUUCGGCUUGGGGACGUUAUUAAUUGUUUGAUUUGUAAACAUCUUGAAGCUCUGGGUCGGGUCGGGCUUUCCCCUUGUAUACGAGUUUCUCGGGUAUCUGAAAAGGAGUGAAAUCAGUCCGGUCCGGGUGUUGGCAAGGAAGCUAUAAGUACUGAAGUGGGUUCGGGUGCUUGUGUUAAGCAAUGAUACAAUCUAUCUUCUUAGUCUACGUAACUCCCGAAAAAAGGACUUGCUUAGGACUAACAAGGAAUAUCUCUCGUAUGUAAGUAGAUAAGCCCUUAUUUGUUGAUUCUAUUCUGUUGCUGGAACUCUAUCACUGGUUCUUGUGCCGGGUCAAGGAAAACUUGGAUUGAAUCUUUCGAGGCCCGCUGCUGUAAAAGAAUUGAGUCAUGAAGAUCUAAUUGCUGGAAAAGAAUUUCUGUCAUCUCUCUCACACUCGCAACUACGCUUUACCUUUGCUUUAACCGACAAGUAAUAGAAAUCCGGGUAUAAAGCUUUUCGUUUAAGGGUAAUAGUAGAGUUCAGGAUAGAAUAUCUUAUAGGCCGCCCACCAACACAUAAUGUGUGCUAGGUUAAUGCGUUUCAUCGUUUUCAAAAGUGCAGAAGAAGAAUCCACUCUCGAAUCGAAAUACCUACGAGAAAGUUGAAAGCGUAAAAAGACGCUUAAGUAUCAUAUGGAAAUUGCUUGCUCUUUCUUAUCUAGAUGAAAUUAUGGAAUGAACUUAAAGGAAAGUCAGCAUCAGAUAUUGAAUCCAAUUAUGUAUUUUGGCGAAGGUUAGUUGACCACCCGGAAACAAAGUAAGCAAGCGGGUCCUCAAUGAGAGAUAGAGAUGGUGUGACCGCUCCCCGUGAACAGAUCUGAGAGACAAGAACUGAUCUCACUGCUGAAGAUCUUUAUUCCACUUAUGCAUACGUAGCUAACUUGAGAGCUAUACUUGAUGAACCAACCGACUACUGUACUUGCUUCUUGCCUUGUACCGAGUCAAACAUUAAUUGAUUCUUUCGAGACCCUGUAUAUAAUAGGAGUGAGUAAUCUUACCUCAAUCUAUAACUCAACACUGCUUCCCUUUCUUUACGCUGAUUAAGAUCUUUCCCCAUAUUCUUUAGCUGAGCCAUAGGUAGUAUAGUCGCCUUAGGGGUCUCAUAAGACAGAAAGCCAACAUAAGUAAGGGCGAGUUGAGGCAAUCAACAAACGAGCUGUGGGAUUAGAGUCGAGGCCUCUAUAAGAAGUUUCGGGGUUAACUCAAAGGUAAGAGCCAGAGUCGAGGUGUAACUCAAAUGAAUGUAACUAUAAUGAGCAUAUAUAAGAAUUUUACUAAAACCAUUUCUCCUUAGCAACUAGGCAAGAAGGGAAUAGCAACUAGACAACCAGUUUUAGACUAAUAAACCUGAGCAACAAGGCCUAUAUCCUAUAUCAGAAUUAGAAACGACUCCGGAUGUAAAGGUCCUUCUCGAUAGUAGGAAUUAGCCAGGUAAAGCUAGAAAGGCAAGCAACCACAAGCAACCAUUACGGUCAAGGAGAUAGGAAGGGGCAGAGUCUUGUGCCACUUAUAUAUCUGCUAGCGCAUCUAGUAUAGGAACAGUAACUAGUGAUUCUCUUAAGGCAAGGGCCAGGGAGGAAAGAGACAUGCAUUAAAGCAGGGGCAAGGGCGGAUACAUAAGUGACAGUACUAGAGCAAGAACAAGUAGUGGCCCAGCCCAGUUUCAUCAGUAUUUGUUGUAUUAGUUGACAGAGGGGGAUUUGCCUCAUUCCGUUAGCAGAGAGGAGCCGACUACGAGCACAGGACUCGGUCAAAGGGUUAUUUAUUAUUACAUUGUAGCCAGCAGCAAAGCAAGUGGAAUUCUUUGUUUACUUGGUGAAGUUCGGGUUCGAGUUAAGCCCGCUGCCCAAAGAGAUGAAUUCCCAUGUACUCUUUCUAACCAAUAAGAGGUAGAAUACCAGAUAAGUACUCUUUCCAACCAAUAAGAAGUAGAAUACCAGAUAAGUAGAUAGUUCUGAAUUCCACUCUUUCACUUAGGACAGCUGAUCUCCGCCUUUAUCCUGUUCCGAGAGACUUUCCUUUGCUUCCCUUUCUUUUGAAUAUGUCUCGAGCGUAUAGAAGAAUGUGACCUAUGAGCUUCCCUUUCUUUUGAAUCUCUGUUAAUUGACAGAUAAGAAUUGACCUAUCUAGAAACUUAUAUUCAUUGGUAUUGUUAUCGGAGAGGAAGAAAGAGCCAGCAAGCACUGUUCCUGCCGCGCAACUGCUACAAAGCGGGGAAACUACCGGGUUUUUCUCUAGCAAUUCCAUCCUUUAUCCAUAUAGUAGUUUAUCCAUAUAGUAGAAUAUCAAUAGUCUAUAUAGUAGAAUCUCAAUAGAAUAUAGGCAGUAGGGGUUUCUCUCAAUUCUAUCCUUUAUCCAUAUAGUGUUUAAUGUCAAUCAUUCCAUUCUAUAGUAAAUCAUUCCAUUCUAUAGUAAAUCAUUCCAUUCUAUAGGCGGAAGUGUUCGUAGCGUGUGAAUUACUAUUGGAGUUGUUGUGAGGGUGCGCGCUUCGGAAGUCCUCUUUCUCUUCUCUUUUUCUGCUUCCGCAUCUUUUUAGCUGUUUUCUUUUUUUUAUGCAGGUAGGGCAGCUGGCGGCAACAUGGAAUACAUGGUUAGCUAGCUCCUCAGGUAGGGCCGGUUGAUAGCUCUGGUUCUGGUCUUGGAGCUCGAGCUCGGCGGAAGGGCUACUAUGCUAAAGCAAGUGAGUCAACUAGUCAUUUCUUUCUCUUAGGUCUGCUCCUAUGGCGCGCCUCCUUUCUUAGGGCUCUUCGCAGUUCACGACGAUUGCUAUGGUUGGUAUCGCGAUGUGUUUGCCUGAUUGUUGUCCUCCAACUUUAUAGCUUAACAAGGCUAGUGGAAACAAUUGAUACUAUAACGACUAUACUCAAAACUCAAUCAUCAAAUAGGACUAGAAGCGCGAUAUGAAUAAAAAUAAGGUAACUCAGCCCUUUAUUUAUUGAUGGCCUAAAUUCAUUGUUUCAAGAGAGCACUAACUUAAUGUAUCCUUUGUCACCCUCCAAUAUUUCUAUAAGAGGUGAAUGAGUCUUUUUCGGGGCUCUUCUGGCUACCCUCUGCUUGCCUUAGCUGAAAGCAUUGACAAACCAACCCUUUAUUCCCAUAUGGAACUGGUUUUGAUUUACCGUGCUCAAGAAAUAGGCGCACACUAAGAACACUUUUGUUGAAUCAAACUCGCCAUCUAUUGACAUCCUAUAUGCGUAUGGUAUAAUUUGACAAUAACUCUUAGUAUGCAUCUCACCCACCACUACCACUUCCUGGAAGCUCGGUUCACUCAUGCUUUGAUAGAGGCCACUUGCUUUGUUUUUAGCUAAGCAACCGAAACACCAUCCUAACUUCUCCAGCAGCCACAUCCACCCUUCGCAAUUUCCUAGGUUCUUAAAUCGAUCUCAUCCUUGAUCAUAAAGGUGUCCAAUCUAAUACAGCCCAAUGUCACUUCUUCCUCUUUUUUCUGUCUUUUACUUUAUAGUCAAUUAGAACACUUGACAAAGUCUUUCUUUUGCAGUUCCCCUACGAAGCACAAGAAUUCACAAUAACCUACCAUUAUCAUGGACCCAUGAAUCAUUUCUAGGUCUAUAGGGUGCGCGAUUGUUCUUAGGCCUUAUCCUCCCUAUACAUUAUUAUUCUCUCUUACUUACAAGGAGGUAUAGAAUCAAGUCUUUGCUGUCCCUUGCCACCUAAUAGAAGAGAAAGAACCAUGCCUAUCACCUUAUCCGGGCACGGAGGGAAGAUAGACAGAGGCAUAGGGAGACAGAUACAUACUACGUAAAUGGAGUUGCCUAAGCUAAGUAGUUCUUUAUUCCUUAGAGAGAGAUCGGGGAGGAAAGAGAGAUGAUAUUAGGUAGUAGGAAAGAGAUAUGAUGAUAUUAGGUAGUAGGAAAGAGAUAUGAGAUUUUUGAGUCUAUUAUAGGGGUCCAUCAUCCUUAAAGAACAGUCAGGGAAGGAAUAGAGUAAGGCCUUUUCUAUAUCUCUCUAUCUACUUUUUGAGGAAUAGCCAUUUGUAGUGUCUUCUAUACUAAGUAGAGCCUCUGCAUUCUCUUACCAUUACCUGCUCAAGUCAUCUUCCUACUAACUAAGAAAACUCAGAAGGGAGAGAUUGCUUUCAAACAUAGCAACUAAGGCUUUCAGCACCUUACAAGCAGCCUGGUUCACCCAUUAUAUGCGACCUAUGUAUCUAUUUAUUGCUGCCUUUGCUUCCCGCGGCUUCAUUGACUAUUGCUCUGCUGCCAUCCCUGCUAUUCCUUACCUUAUAAGGACUCAAUCCAAAACUAGGUAAAUUGUAGGACUCAAUCAAACUAGGUAAAGUG